AAGUUAGGGUGUGUCUUGAGCCCUGCAUGUGAUACUGUGAGCUGCUGCAGCAGCCAGGAAGUUUAAUCCCUGGGCAUUGUCCGGGGUAACCUGAAUCAUGUGUUGUUGUUGUUGAUCGGUUGCUACUGCAAGUCAGUAGUAACAUGUGUGUGUGUGUGCGCUGACUGCUGACUUUUGUAUGUUGCUAUCAUACUUCAGAAUUUUAUUUAUGCCUGUGCGAAUGGUCUCUGUGCUGGGAAAGUGAUUUUGUUGGCUGAAUGAUGCAAGGAGAUUCCGACUUGGUGCUUCAACUGCUUCCAUCUGACUUACUGUAGUGUUUUUCUUUUCUAAAUGUUAGUCCACACACUUGCUGAAUCUUGAAUCUUCGUUGACAGUCAGCGGUUCAGGGCUUGCAUUGCUACAAGGUCAUCCGUCCCAAUGAUCACAUGGAUCGUCCCUCUUCUUUUCGUUCGUCCUUCGAAUGUCGACGGAUUUGUGAAGUUCUUAAGCGUGGAUGCUGAUUGGUGCGCUCCCCUCCCCCCCCACCCACCCACACACACGAGCGCCAGAGGAGGCGGAGGGGGCGGCGGAACCCUAGCCGCCGGUCCAGGCCACCAUCCUUGCCCCCUCAUGUCCUUGUUGCAGCCUCGGUGCGCUGACGGGCAAAGCCUGGCUAGCAUCGGCGACAGAGGGGUGCCUUCCUUCGCUCGUUCGGCGCUUGGUGGCGCAACGUGUGGACGAGAUGUGGCGGCACCACGGCAGCAGCCGGCGGUGGUGGCGCGGGUUGUGGGCGGCGGCAUGAAAGGGUUGUGGUUUGCGGGUUGCGGGGGUGCGCACCAUGUCAUCGGAAGGGAUGGGACGGGUGCGUCUCGGAUCUGCCUUUCCGGGGAUACGGACAGCUCGGCUCGUUGUGGUGACGGGGCUCGGCUUGUCGCUAGUGAUAGCGUGCUUGCCGGCCUCCGGUCAGGCCUAGUCUUGUACUCCGACAAGGGUGUGCGGGCUACGGUCAGCGUGGGUUGGUGACCUUUGUUGCGUACCUGCAGUGGUGGUUGACAGCGAUUGUGGUUUGGUAGGGGCCGCGUUCCGGCUGUGGUGGGUGCACCAAUGAUGGGCGAUGUUGCGGCAGCUCUGGCGACAGUGAUUGGUGUGCGAGUGGUGGUGGCUCCUUUCUUCUCAUGGGUUCGGGCCGGCAUGGGAUGUCCGCGUGGUGGAGAUGUCCAGGACCUGGGGCUCGUGCUCGGGCAGACCAGAUUGGGGCCUGGGGCGGGUCGGAGCUCCUGCUUUGGGUAGGCGAUGGUGGUCUCAGUCCGAGAGAUGCGCACAGGUGAUGUGUGUCGGUGUCAAAACCGGCGGAUCUCGGGUAGGGGGUCCCGAACUGUGUGUCUAAGGUUAAUGGUAACAUGAGACAGGGGACAUGAUGUUUACCCAGGUUCGGGCCCUCUCUAUGGAGGUAAUACCCUACGUCCUGCUUGAUUGAUAUUGAUGAAUACGAGUAUUACAAGAGUUGAUCUACCUCGAGAUCGUAAUGGCUAAACCCUAGAGGUAUAGCUUGUAUGGCUAUGGUAAUAAAUAUCUCCUCCUCUCUGGACUAAGUCCUCUGGUUUAUAUAGACAUCGGGGAGAUCUAGGGUUACACAAGAUCGGUUACAAAGAAAGAAAUCUACAUAUUCGGUCGCCAAGCUUGCCUUCCACGCCAAGGAGAGUCCCAUUCGGACACGGGUGCAGUCUUCGGUCUUCAUAUCUUCACAGCCCAUCAGUCCGGCCCAUGGCUAACAGGUCGGACGCCCGAGGACCCCUUAGUCCAGGACUCUCCCAGUAGCCCCCAAACCAGUCUUCAAUGACGAGGUGUUCGACACAUAGAUUAUCUUCGGCACUGCAAGGCGGGUUCCUCCACCGAUGACUUCCGAGUAGUGUGUUCGGCAUUCCAUUUAAUGUUGUACUCCUCGACUUCUAUGCAUCAACAACUUCAGUUUCCACGUGUCGAGCGAAUGCGAGAGGUCAGGGUAUUUUUGCAUAUACCACCCCGACCGUGCCACAAAUAUGCCUAUUUAAAGAGAAUAGAUCUCAGAUCCAUUCCACACCCCGCGAAAAAUCCUCAGAGCUUGCUAAGAAAAACCACCCCAACAUGGCUAGCGCUCCCGGCUCUUCCUCUCGUCCCCACGGCUCCAAGAAGGGUGAUUGGGAGAGAUGUUCUGUAUCCCACAGUCAGCUGGCGAAGCUGCAAACGCAGGGCUUUCUUCCCCCCGCGGACUUGGUCCCCGUACGAGCAGGGAUGACGUCCUUCAAGGGCAGGGCUCAAACGGAGAGCUUCCCCAAUCCGUCCAAGGGAGAGCGAGUAUGCUUCGUCCCCUUCUUGUUAAGAGGUGUUGGAUUUCCGAUCCAUCCCUUCCUCCGAGGUUUGCUGGAGUAUUACGGCCUCCAACUGCACAGUCUCACUCCCGCCUCUAUCCUCAUAUUGCGGGUUACGUCGCUUUAUGCGAGCUAUUCCUGGGCUGCGAGGCCCAUUUCGAUUUAUGGAGGAGACUGUUCUUCGAUUUAUGGAGCAAUAUAUAUAAUGAUGUAUGGAGUUAUAGCUGUGUCAUACCUCAAAUAUUUGUAUCUUGAGACUGGCCCGACAGGGGGCUGACGGACAAUUGCUUUUUUCCUAACAGACUGACCGUGUACUUGAUUUCUUCAGCGAGUAUACCGGGUCUGAGCUGAUUAUUCGGCUUUUGACUUUCUCAUUUUGUCGGUAUACCCAUCUUUGGUAAUACGUUGUGAUAUGUUUUAUCACUGCCGCUGAGGUUAAACUGUUGAGGUUGUAAAGGAAUCUUGGAUCUGACAGAACAGACUUGGAGAUUCCACACUAAUCAUGUCAAGCAAGUUAGCGGGAUAUGAAAAUCCUUGUAAAUAGAGUAGGCCGCUGAAGGUGUAUGUCUUUGUGGAUCCAUAUGGAAUUAUGGCCUCCAACUGACUUGGGUAUCCGGACCCUGAUGGUCGUGCAAAAAUCAUCAUACCUUUGUUGUCAGUCUCACCUUUUAACGGUCAUGAUUUUCUUUGUCAGGAUACCUUACUAAAAUAACUUGACCACACCUGUCCUUGAUUCUUCGUAUGACCAGGGACGUGAUUAGUGCAAUAUGGUUGGCAUUAUUCCUUUGUGCCUGUUUUCUGACCUGAGUCCGCACACAUAUGACAUAUGUUCGUUGCUUGUAGCUGUACAAAGCUCUUUGUUGAGUCCAAUCAUAUAAGAGGGUGACAAGGUUUCCUGAUCUCACCUUGCCUGGUGCGGGAAUAAUGACCUUGAUGACCAUUGGCAGCACUGGGGAAUCUGUUAUGUCAUCCCCAGAUCUUGUCGAUCAUGGUAUUACAUGAGAUGUAUCUCUGCACAUUUUCCUUUGCCUGACUCGUGAGGUUGUGGGAUCUGUACUUUCCUUAGGUAUAUCUAUUGGAUCCUUGCCGCAUCUCGUAUGAGUGACUGAUGAGACUGGGGAUGCAUGCCCACCAUAUAUAAAAAUCAUAUGCAACCAAACACUUGAUUCUUGCGGUAGGCAUAUGUUUUGACUGUAUUGUACCUCCGACAAAAAAUAUUGCAAAUCUGAUCCUUGAUCUGCAGAGAAAAGCCAUUCGUGUAGCUUGCCGAGGAAGGCCCAUUAGCUUCUGCUCGAAGCUUUUUGUUUGGGUAGCAUGCAGAAGAAGCCUCGAUAGCUUACACAUGAAGCUUGACAUGAGUAUUGUGUAGGAGAAGCCUGAGUUCCGUACUUGAGAAGCUUCUCCUCGGUUUUGCUUGUUGAGAAAAAUUCAUUUCUGUCUGUCAGAAGCUUUUACCGAGGUAUCUUGUUGAGAAAGACCGGAUUUCUUGGACCGGAAAUUAUUCACAUAUCAUGCUAAGGAGCCUUGCAUCAUAAAUUUCUUCCGAUAACGUGUGGAAGAAUACUGAGUUUCUUAUAUCCAAAACUUCAUACUGAUAUGCAGACUGAAAUCCACACACAUAGACACCCAUGAUAUUCUAUGGCUGAAUAUUUACAUGAGAAAAUUUGUUUAACUGUCUUCCUUGAGCAUAUCACAUUCUGACUUUAUUUCGAAUGAUAACAUAUUACAAGCAUCAGGCAUUGCUGAGCCAAAAUUUUGUAUAUGACCCAUACCUUUGACUGAAAAUAUACCGUUGAUCUUGUACCUGACCUGUCUUUCUGCUGGCUAGAUCAUUACUGCUGUGAGGAUUUUAUACUGAUAUAGACUUGAGUUAUUAGUACUGUUGUGAGGAGUGCACACUAAUGCAAAAUUUCAUUAUCAGCCUCACGAUCAGAUAUUCCCCAUUUUACUGGAGUCGGCUGAGAAUUCCAUUCUGUUUAUCUGAGCUUCCAAAUAUUUGAACUCCUUAUUACUUCUUCGAGUCCGGUGUCAGAUGAUGAGCAACUCUUUAUAGGGGGAAAAUAAUGUAACACCGGGGCCCAAAAGAAAGAAGCAAAAGAAAACUCAACUAAACAAAAGCACACAACAACAAUCAAUUCACACACAAUCAGUGUCACAUAUUACUUCUAGUCACACAAUAUGCAUGCCUACUUAAGCACACAAAUAUCGCGGGAUCUCUGGUACUACGAUCUAGCAUGCUGUGAGGAUGUGCACGAGGACGAAUAAAUGUGUGGAGGAAUUGGUGUGAACAGCGCUACACCAAGUGCUAGCUUAGCCAGGUAGCAACCUGGACUAGCUCGGAGGCGAGGACGUACUUGGUAACCAUGUAGCAGGACACGAAUGUCGUGACCACAUUAUUAUCUAGCGGACGGAAAAUAUCCGUACUCGUCCAAGAAAUAAGGAUAGCGGGGAAACUGAGUCUGCUGGCAUUGCCCUUUCUUGAUAACUAAGACCAUUAAGGGUUGCCAUCACGACAAGAAAAAGGACGAUCCGGGGUAGAAACAUGUCAACCACCGAGACAAAACGGGGCUGAAGGAAGGAAUUCGACGCGAUAGCGGAGCACCAUUUUUGCCAACAGUGUCAGGAUCACUUGGCAUCACUCUGCUGGGAUAGAAAUGACACCAAGCACCGAAGAACAAGCAAGAAAAGAAAACCGGGGAAUGCAAAGACUGAGCUGUAGUGGAUCUGAACCGAUGCCAUCUACACUCACCAAAUAAAUCGUCAGCAGCCAAUAAUAAGGCUAUAUGCAUGCUGUGCAACAAACAAAUGCAGCAACCAUAUGCAAUAAACAAGCCAAACUCUAUACUACAGAUUUCUACUGGUUUCUACCGCUCAUGCUGACUAGGGCGUCCUAUAGCCAGACCUGCUCUCAUACCAAGCCUGUGGCACCCCGACUCAGAGAAACCAGAACGCCCCGUAUUCCAGCCCAGAGAUCAAGGAGAAGUCUCUGGAAUACGACACUGCUUGACAUAGAACAAAUUAGCUCUUAUUACAAGAAUAAUAAUACAAGGGUAUGAUGUUACAAAGAAACACAUCAGCAUGGCGACACUACGCCUGCGAUACUACACUUGCUCUAUGCUAGCAGCGAAACAACUCGUAGCAGCGGAAUACUUCUAGCAGCAGAACAACGACGAAGGUGGUGAACUCCACUCCGCAGGGACUCUGGCUGGGACACGAUCUAGCUCGCACGCACGGCAUCCAUCGACAAAAUUCAAGCAAUCAUGGCAUCACCUGCAAUCUGGCAUGACACGCCAGGUCAGUACAUUGAAUGUACUUGCAAGCUCACAACAACCAUAAACAUCAAGGCAAGACAAUAACAUAGCAUUUAACAGGUUAAUUAAAUUAACAACCAUUAUGAUGAAACAACUACCAAGCAUGGUAUGAAACUAAUACAAUACUGAUAAAUCACCAUCUUAGAUCUCCAUAACCAUAUCUCUCUUGGCUAACCGGCCAAGCAGUAUACCAUCUCGAUCACCUUGUGAUCAAAACCAAACGGUGAUCAUUCCGGCGAUCACAACCAUGACCAACACUUGGCCUCAAUGGUGAUCUUUCCGGCGAUCACUACCAUGACCAACACUUGGUCUCCAACAUCAACAUCCUGCCAAUCUGUACUGCUCAACAUACCAACAUAUAAAUAUAUCACCUAUAAGUCAUUCUGUCAUGUGAGUGUUGAUCGAACGGUGUGACCUAGUACGAACCCUUGCCCAUGACCGAGGACGCGACUAUCGAUAGAUUUAAAUACACUAUGUAGAGGUAGCACACUGUACCCACACCACGGAACCCAUGGCCUCGCACUCCCAUUCGGGUGGACCAACGGCGUUCCGACAAAACCGAUCUACUGCCAUGACACUCUCCCGUCCACUCCGACCGACUCCCAACUGGGCUAGUCCUGGGUGGCCCCGUGUCUACCAAAGACACAAUGACCACCGCCGUGGCCAAAACGUCCCUCACGGGGACCGUGCACAUAACAACAACAACGGGCACACAAGGCUUAUGUCCGCCUACCUGAUCAGGGUAGCCGGCAAUCUCAUUUGUGAUAAGAGCAAGCCUAGAGUACAUUUCAGUGGCACCUUCACCAUCCUUCAUUUUGAACUUGUCAAGUUGACUUUGAAGCACAUCCAACUUGGAUUCCUUGACGGAGUCGGUACCUUCGUGCAUAUCAAUCAAAGUAUCCCAAAUUUCCUUUGCAUUCUCAAGACGACUGAUUUUGUUGAAUUCUUCAGGGCACAAUCCGUUGAAGAGGAUAUCACAAGCUUGAGCAUUGUAUUGCAGCAUCUUCAACUCUUCCACGGUAGCUUCACGAUUUGGUUCUCUCCCAUCAAAGAAUUCACCUUGCAAGCCAACACACACAAUAGCCCAAAUGGCAGGGUUAUGUCCAAGAAUAUGCAUUUUCAUCUUAUGCUUCCAACUAGCAAAAUUAGUACCAUCAAAGUAAGGACCUCUAUGGUGGUAAUUUCCCUCGCUAGACGCCAUACUAUCCUAGGUUGUGAAACCAAGGCUAUGACUUCCAAAAGCUAUGAAAAUCAAGGCAGAUGGAUACCAAAGCUCUGAUACCACUUGUAGGAUCAAAAGUAUGUCUAGAGGGGGGUGAUUAGACUACUUGACCAAAUAAAAAUCUAGCCUUUUCCCAAUUUUAGUUCUUGGCAUAUUUUAGCAACUAUGGACAAGUCAAGCAAUCUUAACACAGUUCAAGCAAGCAUGCAAAGAGUAUAUGAGCAGCGGAAAGUAAAGCAUGUAACUUGCAAGAAUGUAAAGGGAAGGGUUUGGAGGAUUCAAACGCAAUUGGAGACACGGAUGUUUUUGUCGUGGUUCCGAUAGGUGGUGCUAUCGUACAUCCACGUUGAUGGAGACUUCAACCCAUGAAGGGUAACGGUUGCGCGAGUCCACGGAGGGCUCCACCCACGAAGGGUCCACGAAGAAGCAACCUUGUCUAUCCCACCAUGGCCAUCGCCCACGAAGGACUUGCCUCACUAGCAGUAGAUCUUCAUGAAGUAGGCAAUCUCCUUGCCCUUACAAACUCCUUGGUUCAACUCCACAAUCUUGUCGGAGGCUCCCAAGUGACACCUAGCCAAUCUAGGAGACACCACUCUCCAAGAAGUAACAAAUGGUGUGUUGAUGAUGAACUCCUUGAUCUUGUGCUUCAAAUGAUAGUCUCCCCAACACUCAACUCUCUCUCUCAUAGGAUAUGGAUUUGGUGGAAAGAAGAUUUGAGUGGAAAGCAACUUGGGGAAGGCUAGAGAUCAAAAUUCAUAUGGUAGCAAUGGAAUAUCUUGGUCUCAACACAAGUGUAGGUGGUUCUCUCUCAAAAAAUAUAGGUUGGAAGUGUAGGUUUGUUCUGAUGGCUCUCUCCAUGAAUGAAGAGGAGGUGGAGGGGUAUAUAUAGCCUCCACACAAAAUCUAACCGUUACACAUAACUUCCCAAACUCGGUGGGACCGAAUGGUUAAACUCGAUCUGACCGAUUCAGCAAAGCUAGUGACCGUUAGGGUUUUCGGUGGGACCGACGUGCAACUCGGUAUGACCGAUAUGAUUAGGGUUAGGGAAUAACGUAAUCUCGGUGAGACCGAUUACACAAACUCGGUAAGACCGAUUUUUGUAAUAAGCUAACCAGAGAGUUGGUCAGGUAAACUUGGUGGGACCGAUCGCUCAUUUCGGUGAGACCGAAACAUUACGAAGGGAGAACAGAGAGUUUACAUUGCAAUCUCGGUGGGACCGAUCGCUCAUCUCGGUGAGACCGAAAUGUUACGAAGGGAAACAGAGAGAUUACAACCCCAUCUUGGUGAGACCGAGAUCCCUAUCAGUGAGACCGAUUUGCCUAGGGUUUGUGGCAGUGGCUAAGACAUUUGAAACUCGGUGGCACCAGAUAGAAAGAAUCGGUGGGGCCGAGUUUGACUUUUGGUUUAGGUCAUAUGUGGAUGCGAGAAAGUAGUUGAGAGCUUUGGAGCAUAUCACUAAGCAUUUGAGCAAGAACCUCAUUAAGCAACACCUCAUCCCUCCUUGAUAGUAUUGGCUUUUCCUAUAGACUCAAUGUGAUCUUGGAUCACUACAAUAGAAAAUGUAGAGUCUUGAGCUUUGAGCUUGAGCCAAUCCUUUGUCCUUAGCAUUUUGAGGGGUCCACUUUUCUCAUCCAUGCCAUGCCAAUCAUUCAGCUUUCCUGAGAUAUUAAUCUUGAAAUAGCAUUAGCUCAAUGAGCUAUAUGUUGUUAGGAAUUACCAAAACCACCUAGGGAUAGUUGCACUUUCAAUCUCCCCCUUUUUGGUAAUUGAUGACAACAUAUAGAUCAAAGCUUCGACAAAUGAUAAUAAGAGUGAAAAAUAUUGUCGCUUUGAGAAGUAUGUGAAAAGCAAGAGCUCCCCCUAAAUUUGUGCAUAGUUUAAGAUUUGCUUUGGACUACAAUUGCACAAAGAGUUAGGAUCAUGGGUUACUCUUCCAUGUCACAUACAUCUUGGUGGAGCGCUCAAAAUGAUAAUAAUUAAAAUACAUGCACUCAUCACCAAGCAAAAUGAAUGAUCACAUAAAAGGAUAAUGUCAUCCAACAAGCAUUAAGGUAGUAUAUGAUCAAACACAUGAUCAUCUAAGCAAGCACAAAGUAUGAAGUAUCUCAACCAAGCAAAUAAAUGAAGUUUAACCACCAAACAAAAAGAGAGAAUAAAAAGCAACGCUCUCUCUCAAAGCCUAUGAUCUAUACAUUUUCUCCCCCUUUGGCAACAAGUUACCAAAAAGUUCAUAAAAAUGCAUAGUGCUAGAUCGACACUUAGGCUCGGUCUUCAUGUGGUGGUGUAGACAGAACUCCAAGAACGAAGGCAUCCUUCGAUGUAGAUGGAGCUGGUGGAGUAGAUGCUGGAGCCGGUGGCACUGAAGUUGUAGCUGGUGCAGAUGAAGUAGCUCUGGUGUCUGGAAUAGGCACUGCAGCAGACCUCUGACCUCUGGGCACUCUAGCAAAAGCAUCAGUGGUUGUCUUGCCCUUCUUCUCCUCCACUUCAUCCUGAAGUUUCUCAACGACUGACUGGAUCUCGGUGACAUUCACAUCUAAGUCAUAGAACUUCUGCUCCACGAUCCUCUCCAAGCUCUCCUGGUUUUGAGUCAGGGUGGCCAGUCCCUUCUCAAUCCUCAGAGUGGAGGCAAUGAAGUAGCCAAGAUGAUCUUGCUUUCUCUUCAGAAGGUACUGAGAUGCUUCUUCAGUAGUUGGCAUCCUUGCAGCCAUUUCAGCCUUUGCCUUCUCCUUCUUGGCUUGUGCGUGCACAGAAGAUGGUUCAUUUUCAUCCAUCACCACAGUGUUGUCCUCAAAGUCUGGGUAGAUGGGCAGAUGCUGCUUGUCCAGCAGAUAUGUGCCAGUGCCCAUCUUGGAGUUGAUCAGCUCCUGGAUCUGUGGGGCAUAGCCACAACUCCUCUUCUGAUCUGCAGUUGUCCUCUUUAUGGUUUCCACUAUUAGGCUCAUGACUUUGAACUUCUGUGGGACAUCAAAGAGGUGAAGCAAGUUAAUUGCAUGGCCUCUGAUCUUCUUGUGAUCACCUGACUUUGGCAAGAGAGUGUGCCUGAGGAUCUAGUUAAUAGUUGGCAAGCCUGACAAAAGGUAAUGUAUAGAUCCAAACUUGUGUGUUUCAAGAGCAGCAUCUGGGAUCUCCUUGUACAUGUGUGCCAUCAUGUUGUGAUGCUUCUUCUUCUUGGCAUAGACAUCCAAGUCAUCUUCACUCUCUUCUGGGGCAUUGAUCAACUUAGCCCAUUCUACAACUGUGGACUGGUACCUCGUACCUUCAGACAUCCAGACAAUCCUUCCAUCUGGGUAGAAGUGAGCUGUGGAGUAGAACUAUAUGAUGAGCUCAUCAUUCCAUUUUGUGAGCUUCUGAGCCACAAACUCAUCAACUCCACAAGCCUUGAAGCUAUCAUAUACACUAGGGAAGUGAUCCUCAUUUUCCUCAAUGAAUUUUCAAUCAACCCAUCUCAUGUCACACACUAUGGGCUUCUUGUCAAGCAAGAUGGUCUCAUAGAAGUCCUGAUGUUCCUUUGUAUGGAACCUGUAGUCCACAGCAGUCCUUCUCCUGGUGGCAUAUGGAUCAGACUCUCUCCAUAGCCUUAGACCAAAGUCCUUCCUGACUUUCAUGUUCUCUGCAACUGGAUGAGCAUCAUUGUGAUCUAGAAUUUUUGGCUUCAACUUCCUCAAGACAAUAGAAUCAUCUUCUUCUUCCAUUGCAGCUUCAGGCAUUGGGGCCUUGUUCUUCUCUGCUGCUGGGAUGUUCCUGGUGCUCCUCUUGGGUGCAGUUUUGGGUUUUGGAGCAGCUGGCUUAGGAGUUCUUUUGGGCUUAGAUGGAGAAGCCCCUGAUCUUAUGGCAUCUCCCAUAAGCUUUUGAGCUUUAGGUGCUGGUGCAGCAUCCUCUUCCUCUUCCUCUUCUUCAGAGUCUUUCAUGACUGAAGAUCUCCCAAGCACUCUGGCAGUGGUCUUCUUGACCCUCUCUUUCCUUUUCUUUUCUGCCACAACCUGCUCUUUGGGUGCAGAUCCCAAAGUCUCUUGAGUGGAUGCUCUGGCUUUAGACGUUGGAGCUCUCUUGGCAGGAACCUUUUGCUUCAUCCCUGGCUUGGUGGCAGCAGCUGUGCCAUAUUCCUUCUUCAGGACUUUCCUCUUUGAGGUGGUUUCUUCUUCCUCAACCACAUAGUUCUCAUCCUCUGACUCUGAGGUUCUUUUCUUGCUGGCCCUUGUGGCAGCUUUUGGCAGAUUGCUAGGUGUGCUCCUGCUUCCAUCAUCUGAGCUGCUAGAGGGACUAGUGCCCUCACUCAAGUGAACCUGUUCCUCUGACUUGUUCUGACUAUCACUCUAAUCUGACAUGAUGCAAACACUGACAGCAGACCCUGUGAAUAGAUUAUAGAUGAGGUAGAGUGGAUGAGCAUCACAAAGUACAGAGGUUUUUGCAAAAGAAUGAAUUAAAAACUUAGUUUUAGUUUUCUAUAGAAAGCAUUUCGGAUCUACCGAUUUGCAAACUCGGUGAUACCGAAGGAGCUUUUGGAACCUAAACUAGUGAACUCGGUCAGACCGAGUCACAGUUCGGUGGCACCGAGACUGCUAGGGUUUCACAAAGUGCCGAACUCGGUCACACCAAUUUGCAAUUCUCGGUCAGACCGAGAAUCACAUGUGCAAUGGCCUGAGCCAAAUCGGUGGAACCGAUUUCAACAACUCGGUCGGUCCGAGAUGGUUUUGGUGGAAACCUAACCCUAAAUUUGCAAUUCACGACUAAACUACGGAGUGUUUUCGAUGGAUAGAACGAUCUCAAUCGUGGCAAGAUACAUGUCAAAGCAAUGUGCUGGGGAAUCGGAGUUAGAACAACACAAAGUUCAAGUCCAUACCCUAGUUCGGCGAUGAAUUUGCUACGGCGGCAACGGCGGAGACGAUCCUGUUGACGGCGGCGGAGACCAGCGACAGGAGGCGGCAGGUGACGAGGAGGAUGAUCCGGAUACCCAGGGAGGCAGAGCAGGCUAAGCGCGGGCGAGGAGGUUCGGAAAGUUUUCCGAAAUUUGACCCGUGGAUAUAUAUAGCCUGACCCUGUCGGUGUGACCGAGUGGAACAACUCGGUGGCACCGAGAUUCAUAACUACAAGCAGUUACUGAAACUCGAUGUGACUGAAAAGUUCAAAUCGGUUGCACCAAGAUUGAAAACCUAGAUCGACUUAGCGAUCUCGGUAUGACCGAAAUGGAUGAAUCGGUUAGACUGAAACACACAAAGAAGUUUUGGAAGUUUAAGUUUAUGACGAAUCGGGGACUCCGAGUGCUCCUCACACGGAGUGGUUCGAAUCUGACUUGAUCAAACUUUGUGAUGCAGCAUGAAUAGAGUUUGAGACGAGAAAAGCAUAGAUAUCUAGAGAAGGUUCUUAGGCAGUCUUAUCCAUCCACUUGGAAAAAGAAAAGGAAACCAACCAAUCAAAACAACAAGUGGAUGUCCUGAAAUGAGUAAAUUAUGCAACCAACAUGCUCACACAAUAAAAUGACAAAUGAAAUAUGUGGCAAAGCAUGCACAAACAAUUAUAGCAUCUAUUAAGCAAUUGGCGAUGACUAGGUCAUCUAUAUAUGAGUAUAUUGACUUAGGAGUCAAAUAGAACAUUUGAUCAUAGGUCAUACUCAUCGUUUAAGCACAAGUGGGGUUACCACUUUUACAUAAAGCGUUGUUGUGUUCACACCAUUAGAGUUGCUUUAACUCAAUUGUUAGAGCAAAGCUCCCCCUAGAUGUGAUAUCCCCCCUAAGAGGGAUGAACUAACCUUGGGUUUUGUCGAUGAUGACUUCAUGUAGGUGUUGAAGAUGUGGAUGCUCUAAGUUGAUGUAGAUCAUUCAGAGCUAUUCUUUGGAGUGAGUUGCACUUUCAAUACCUACACGGGUUAGUCCCACAAGGAACAAACAAGGAUAUCCAUAGGUUAGUCCCACAAGAGGGUUAGUCCCACAAGCAUUAGGUUACCUUGUCCCUUAUCUUACCAACAAGAGGGUUUGUGACUCCUUGAACUAGUGCAAGAUGUGGAAGUUGAUUGCACUUGUUCUUGCCAAAAUGAUAAGAGUGAAGUAUGUUGACAGAGUCACCCUCAAGAACUCUCUAGUUCUUCUUCUUCGGGAGCCACACCAUCUUGAUGGGAAUCCUCAGAGUUGUAGUUGUAGUUGAUGAAGUGGAACUUGAUGUAGUCUUGGGAACUCUCGGUGUCAAAACCGGCGGAUCUCGGAUAGGGGGUCCCGAAUUGUGCAUCUAAGGCGGAUGGUAACAGGAGGCGGGGGACACGAUGUUUACCCAGGUUCGGGCCCUCUUGAUGGAGGUAAUACCCUACGUCCUGCUUGAUUGUUCUUGAUGAUAUGAGUAUUACAAGAGUUGAUCUACCACGAGAUCAAAGAGGCUAAACCCUGGAAGCUAGCCUAUGAUAUGAUUGUCUGUCGUCCUACGGACUAAACCCUCCGGUUUAUAUAGACACCAGAGGGGGCUAGGGUUACACAAGGUCGGUUACAAAGGAGGAGAUAUACAUAUCCGUAUUGCCUAGCUUGCAUUCCAUGCCAAGUAGAGUCCCAUCCGGACAUGGGACGAAGUCUUCAAUCUCGUAUCUUCAUAGUCCAACAGUCCGGCCAAAGGAUAUAGUCCGGCUGUACGGAGACCCCCCAAUCCAGGACUCCCUCAGUAGCCCCUGAACCAGGCUUCAAUGACGAUAAGUCCGGCGCGCAGUAUUGUCUUCGGCAUUGCAAGGUGGGUUCUUCUCCAAAUCUUGAAUAUCUGUUAAGUAGUGUCCGGCUCCCAUAAAUGUUGGACUUCUUGGCUUCUGUGCCCAAUAAGGGCCAUCUUCCACACGUCGAGCGAAUGCGAGGAGCCAGGGCAUUUUUACGUUCGCCCCCUAGCGAGGUAAAUAAAUUGUCUAUUAAAGGGAUGGGGAUUCUUAGAUCCAAUCCACACCAUCCUCCCCCAGCGAGAAUCCAUCGGAGCGCGCUCGGAAAAAAUCCAUUCCAUCAUGGCCGACCACCGCAGCUCCUCCUCCCGCCCCCCGUAGCCCCAGGCCCGGUGAUUGGGAGAGGUGUUCCAUCCCGCACAGCCGUUUAGUAGAGCUGCAGACCCAGGGAUUCCUCCCUCUAGCAUAUAUGGUCCCUGUCCGAGCCGGGCUCGCCACCUAUAAUGGCGGGGAGCAAGCGGAGAGCUUCCCCAGCCCCUCUAAGGGAGAGUGGGUAUGCCUCGUCCCUUACUUACUAAGGGGACUCGAAUUUCCAAUUCAUACAUUCCUCCGCGGGCUCCUGGAGUUCUACGACCUCCAAUUGCAUAAUUUUACCCCUGCUUCCAUACUACACAUCGUCGGUUAUGUUGCCCUUUGUGAGCUGUUCUUGGGCUGCGACGCUCAUUUCGAGCUGUGGAAGAGGUUAUUUUGCCUUCUGCCCCACACACAGAAGGGUUCACUUUAUCAAGUGGGCGGAGCCGAAAUAUGGCGGAUCGCCGAAACCGGAUACCUAUCCGGUACUCCGAAGAAGACGUCCGAAGACUGGCCUUCGGAGUGGUUUUAUAUGGAGGACGUCCCCCUUCCAGACCCUGUUCGGCAGGGUCUUCCUGAGUUCAACAAUGCUCCUUUGAAGAAACACCGAAGCUGGCGCCCACUGAGCCCCCAGGAGGAAGACAACAGAGAAGUCCUCUACCUGAUGAACCGGAUUAAAGCGCUGGCUCAAUCAGGAUUGACAAUUAUCGAGGUUAUGUCAAUAUGCAUAAUGCGGGGAGUGCAACCACUUCAAUAUCGAGGGCACCCCCUGUGGUGUUUUAACGGGGAAGAUGAUGCCACCCGUUGUGGGCGUAAGGGACCGGACUCCGCUGCUGCUUUAGCAAAAUUUUUGUCCAAGUUGUUCAAGGGAGAGGAAGAGGAGUUCAUCUGUAUCAAGCCACAGGAUGGAUUCUCCAUGUACAACCCUCCAAGCUGAGUGAGUUAUACCUGUUUACUCCCAUUCUUCCCGCAUUCUUCGUCAUAGGUACUCACCUUGCCAUUUUACGGCAUGAACUACGAAAAGCUAUAAGGGAGGUCAACAGCCCAUCUCCACAACCAGAGGACCCUGGCCGGGCCCUCGGUCCCGGACUCGAAGAGGAUCUGGACAUAUUCGUGGAGCUGAUAGACAGACAAUUCUAUCAAUUAAGCCGCGAUAACGCCAUGGUGGCCAUAACGGCCGACUAUGCCGGACUGCUCCCUACAUCACACAUAAGAAAAAUCAAAAUCCCAACUCCAAAAAUAGGAUCCCCUUUUAGACACUUCACCUACCAUGCACAUAUGGUGUUUUAUAGGGAAGGAAUUCGGGACGCCAUGCCGAACCCGCAGCAACUCGCCAACAAGAGGCACCGAAACCGGGUAGGCCAAAAAGGAAGGCGGCCAGGACAGAGACGCCGGCGCAGAGGUAUGACACAAAACCUCGCUCCAUGGUUGUCGUCUUUCUCAAAAUGCAAUGCUGUCCAUGCUUCUUUAAUAGAAAAAACGCUCGCCGGACUAUAUCCGGAGAAGCUGCCGAUCACGCCUCCACCAGUCGGACUCCAGGGCUGGACAUAGAGGCGGAAGCCAACAUGGGGCGGACGCCGGAUGCUCCUCCUACAGAGGAUGCGGAUAGACUAUCCGCUACAAAUUCAGAAGUGGAGAGCGCCAUGAAUCAUAGGCGUCGCCGGGCCGUACUCCGUGACGCUUGUUUCUCGCCAGAGGCAUUUGAUGCCUUCAAUUCCGGAGACGCGUACAUCCGUGCUGCUCAAAAUGGUCUAGCCAGAGCCACGGACCAGUAUGUAAGGGAUAUACAGGUAGGCAAAUCUGACGAUUAUAUGUAUCAGUAGCCCCUGAGACUUGAAACAGUUGACACAACUAAUUUAAGGAUCAUUAUUUGUGCAAGUUCUUACGGAGAAGAAUUCCCAAUUGUCUCAAGAGCUGGAUGAGUGCAAGGCCCAGCUGGAAGCCGCUGUUGCCGCAUUGAAGGAGUCCAAAAAGGGUCCCCCUGGUAAAUCUUUUGUCUAUUGCAAAGAAUAUCUGUACCAGGUAGUAUGCGACAUGUAUGCACACCUAACAAUAGAUGUUGCAGGUGGCCCCGGAGUGAAUCCGGAGGCCAUGGAGGCGGAUACGGCACGUGAUGAUCGACAGCGAAAUGCUGGUGAGCGCGUGCUGACGCGAGUCAGGCAGGAGAAAAAUGAUCUCCAAGACGCCAAUAUCCGGCUGGGCGUGGAACUGAAGGAUGUCCGUGCCCAGCUUGCGGACUCCGUGAAAGAGAAUAAACGGCUUCGGCGCGACAUUUUUAGUAAGUGUUUGAACGAAGUUUUUAAAGGAGUUCUGCGAAGAAGCCUGUUAAUAGCGUUAUGUCUGCAGGUAUGCUGACGUGUCGUCCCGCGGAGGAGAUGCUCGGGUCUUCGGGUGAUCUUCUACCAGAGCUCUCACAACUGCACGAACAAGUUCGGCAGGUGAUGCAGAGUAUUGCCCAAGCCUUGUGGCCAUCCAUGUCCCCGCCAGGAGGCAUGGGGGAGCUUAUAGAGAAGCUCAAGGGAGCACGGCGAUGCUUCCGAUUAUGGAAGAUAUCAGCCUGCCGACAAGGUGCAAGGGAAGCCUGGGCUAUGGUGAAGACACGAUAUACCAAGCACUACAAAAAAAGACACAUCCGUGACAUUUUGGGCCGAAUGAAUUUUUUCUCUGUCAUACAUAUGACACUUCUAUGACGAUAAUUGUGAAAAAACCCGGUAUCAUCAUAGAUGUGGUGGGCUCCUACUUCUAUGACAAAAAAUCAUGACAGAAAAUGGGCUUUUCGUCCUGGGCGGGCCGGAGACGCAGCUGCAUGACAUUCUUUGGGCCGUCCAUGACAGAAAAACCAUGGUAGAAGCGAGGGCGAGGAAAAUUUCGAGGAGUUCCCGGUUACGGUGGGAGGUCGGGGGCCGAGCGAUGCACGUUUCUCUUGUUCACGUACGCGCAUGUGUGCGAGGCGUUGGCUCUAAUUGAACCCGAGCGAGGCGUUGGGCUCUAACUGAACCCGAGCGAUUGCACUGCAGGCUACGCGUUACUGAACCCGAGCGAUCGAUCGAUGGCUAUUAACUGAACCCGAUCGAGCGAUUUCUUUGCUACUGCUGCUAACUGAAGCCGAUCGAUNNNNNNNNNNNNNNNNNNNNNNNNNNNNNNNNNNNNNNNNNNNNNNNNNNNNNNNNNNNNNNNNNNNNNNNNNNNNNNNNNNNNNNNNNNNNNNNNNNNNNNNNNNNNNNNNNNNNNNNNNNNNNNNNNNNNNNNNNNNNNNNNNNNNNNNNNNNNNNNNNNNNNNNNNNNNNNNNNNNNNNNNNNNNNNNNNNNNNNNNNNNNNNNNNNNNNNNNNNNNNNNNNNNNNNNNNNNNNNNNNNNNNNNNNNNNNNNNNNNNNNNNNNNNNNNNNNNNNNNNNNNNNNNNNNNNNNNNNNNNNNNNNNNNNNNNNNNNNNNNNNNNNNNNNNNNNNNNNNNNNNNNNNNNNNNNNNNNNNNNNNNNNNNNNNNNNNAGGAGGUCGAUGGUGGAGAUGAACAGUAUCCCGUGGAGUCCCAUUUUGCGGUACGCCACACCCGUCCUGAUGAACAUGACCCCCGUUUCGACCGUAGGAGGUCCGUUUCGUCCAUUUUGCGGUACGCCACACCCCUCCCGAUCAACACGACCCCCGUUUCGACCGUAGGAGGUCCGUUUCCUCCGUUUUGCGGUACGCCACACCCCUCCCGAUCAGCAGGACCCCCGUUUCGACUGUAGGAGGUCCGUUUCCUCCGUUCUACGGUACGCCAGGCCUCGUUUCCAUCGCCUGUUCCAUCCAAGCCCUCCCGAUGAACACGACCACGCAUUCCGUUCCGACCCAGUCGGUUGGCUCCCACGCGUUCCGUUGCCUCCCGAUGAACAUGACGCAUUCGAUUGCCUCCCCAUGAACACGACGCAUUCCGUUGCCUCCCCAUGAACACGACGCAUUCCGUUGCCUCCGCAUGAACACGACGACGACGUUGUUUCUCCGUUCUGACCCAGCCAUGUACACGAGCCCUGGCCGUACGUACGCGCGAGUAGGCGUUCGAGACCCCGCCCGUAUGUACACAUACGUGGCCGUAUUUUCUUUCUUGCACCCUGGCCGCUGUACGUACGUGUACAUGCUACGUGCGCGCCUCUACUAUGACAUGUGCGCGCCUCUACUAUGACACGUGUGCGCAUCUACAUCGACCAGUAUGUACGUACAUGUUUGCGACCAGAAUGACAACGCUACAUACGCUUCGACCAGGUGGGUCCCGACUGUCAGGCACUUCCUUGCAUGCGAAGAUGUAGUUGGUGGGUCCCAGCAGUCAGGGGGGCGAAUCGUUUUUUUGCCCGGACGCACUUCCUUGCGUGUGAAGGUGUAGCUGUUGGGUCCCAGCAGUCAGGGGGCGAAUCGUUUUUUUGCCCGGACGCACUUCCUUGCGUGCGAAGGUGUAGCUGGUGGGUCCCAGCAGUCGGGGGGCGAAUCGCUUUUUUUCGGACGCACUUCCUUCCGUGCGAUGAUGUAGCUCGUGGGUCCCAGCAGUCAGGGGGCGAAUCAUUUUUUCGUGAAAUACGGUGGCUCGUCCGGUGGGUCCCCGCUGUCAGGUGGAGUUAUAAUUAUUUUGCGCGUAAUAAGGAGGCACUUCCUUGCGGCUGCCAUGGACCCAACUGUCAGCCUCUCCACGUACAGUCCACGUCCGAUGGAAGUCGUUCCUUGACCACGUUGACCACACCGCGCCGAGAGCACCAGGGCGGUGGACGACGGCGAGGCCUAGGAAGGGGACGACGCAGAGCCGGGGAAGACGCGGCAGUGGAUGCACACACGGAGAGGAGUACGAGGGUUCAUUGGUUCGGCUGCGCAGCCAUCGCCAUAGAAUAACAGGGGGUGUGGGUGAGUGGAGGGAUGGCCUGGCCAGCGGUGGGAGUAGUAGGGGGCGGUGAGGCCUCCGCGGCAGCACAACCAGCCAUGCGAGGCAGGAGCAGGCGGCACGACCGGCGCUGCUUUGGGUGGCUGGAGCAAAAGAAGACCAGAGGUUGAAGAAGCAUGACGGCCGUUGGAUGGACAUCGUACCGUCACUGCAGCUAGAAUCGUUUAUAUUGACUAAGUUGACAAAGCCCUUGGUACGUUAACUUAGUAGGCCCAUAGGUUAGCUUCUGAAACGGUGCGUCCCGGAUGUCAGGGGGAGGAAUCAUUUUUUGGGCGGGUGAAGCUAGAAUAUCCGAGAUUGAAGAAGAAGCACGGCAUCCGUUGGAUGGACAUCCAACGGUCACUGCUACUAGAACCGUGUGUUGACUAUAAGUGGACAAAGCCUUGCAUAUGUGUCAACUCUGUUUUUUAGGGGACGCGUCAACUUAGUAAGGCCAGAAGUGUGUGGCAGAGAACUUAUAGCCCAUUUGAGAUUUGUAAGAAUGUGUAGCCCAUUUUUGAAUUCUAAUGGAAUUUACUACAUCCCAUUUACAGUUUGUUAAAAGUACAACCCAUUUCAACCAACCGUUCAAAACGGAAUUCAAUAAAAUUUCCCACAUUUUGAUGGGAUCCGAAAUAUUUUUAUCCCGAAAUUUCUAGUUAGAUUAAAUACAAUUUCAAUAUAAAUUUAUAUUACGUAAAAAUCCAACGAAACAUUGCGCUCGCAACAAUUAAUGAAAUUAAAAUUUUCAAUAUCCAAAAAUAAUAUUUUAUAAAGUAAUCACGUGUUUGGUGCAUUUUUAUAGUUACUGCCUAGUUUUUAUAAUUACAUCCCAUUUAUUAUUUUUUAAAGCCCAUUUUCUUGUUAAGCCUAAUGCAUCCCUCCUAGGAAAGAUUUGCAGCCCAGCGGGGCGGAGAAUAACAACUUGACCUUGCCUGGGUAUUCCUAAAAAAAGUAUAGCUGGGCUAGCCAUUUUCAGCUUGAAAUAAAUUAAUAUCUGGGCUGGAUAUCUUGCCUGGGCUAGACGGGCCACAGCUCGCCCAGUUAAUACCUGCAGUGAUGUUUUCGUUGUUGUUCAAAGGAGAAAAAUUAAUAUCUGGGCUAAACAUCGGAAAACUCUGCAGUGCUCACAACUCAAAAACACAAAUACUGCUCGAGCUGCUUGGUCCCAGUUGUCGGCCGCUUCUUGUGCAAUUCUCUCAUUUAUCGACUACUCCCUCCUUUCCGGUUUAUAAGGCUCAAUUCAAAAAUCUCACCAACCAAGGUAGAUGAUGAGUGGUGGAAUAUUUUUUGUAGUUUGCAAAAGCACCCAAUUAAUGUUCUUGUUUUCCUCAAAAAAAUUAUGUUUACGAAUGCAUUAAUUGCAAUGCAUGCAUGCAUAAAGUGCAUGCAUUGGUCAGUUUUCUCUUAAUACUUGCAUGCAAUGAUUUAAUGCACCUUGAAGUCUGAACAUGUGAUGGGGAACAACCAAAUUGAGCCUUAUAAAAUGAAAAAACUAAAAUUUUGAGAUAAGCCCUAUAAACCGGAAAGGAGGGAGUACUACAUAGGUUGACAAUGGUGUGGGACCGUGAUGUCAGGAAACCAGGAGGAAGCAAAAUAAAUUAUAGUUAUAUAUAUAAAAUAAGGAGGCACUUGCGUACGUGAGGCUAUGGACCUGGUGGGUCCCCAUUGUUAUCCUCUCCAAGUAAAGUCAUCUCCUCGCCCGCGUGUGCUUUCCGCCCGAAACAGUCAGCGCCGCCCUCCCCACUUCUCGGUGCAGGCGAUUGCUCCACCUUCAAAUGACACAAGUGUCGUCCGUCCGUCCAUCUGCCGCCCACAUUGAUGAUACGCAAUUGCCAAGGCGGCUACUCCGGCGCCACACGUCCUUCCCUCCGCCCGCCUACAAUGGCUAUAUAAACUGCUGCGCCGGCCAUAGCCGCAGUCAUCCGCAUCCGUUCCCUUUCUCCUGUCCACACCACUACUGCCCACCAUGGCUUCCUCGCGCUCCAGCGCUCUUCGGGACGGGCGGACGACGGACCACAAGGAGAUGGCAGCCAUUGCUGCCGACCGGCUGGCCGCAGGCAGCCGGAGGACGACCACGUCCCAAUGGAUUACAUGGUAGUCGACGAUCCGGCACCAACCCCCUCCUCCGCGCCAUCCUCGCCGGUGCAUUGCACCAUGACCAUCGGCGAGGCCCGUGCCCAAUAUAUGGACAGGAUGAGGCAGAUGCGUGAGGAGCAGUUCCGGGAGGCACAUGCCGACGCCGCCUACAACCACCAUCUCCUCGAGGAGCACCUCCAAGCGGAGGAGCAGAUCGCCGCGAAGCGGGCGGAGCAGGAGGCGCUGCUCGACUCGUACCGCUCCGCCCGCAAGGGCCUCCUCGAGCACUGGCACAUGCAGGUGGCGGAGGCUGCGGCCGCCUACAAAGAGGCUAGCAAAGAGGGCGAUGAAGCGGGCGAGGCGCUGUUUGGCGAGACCGAGGACGAGGCAGAGGACAAUGCCGGCUCCAACGAGUCCCCGCUCCGCUGGCGUCGACGAGGCCCUGCUCCGUGAGGCCCCGUGGCGCCAACAACGAGGCAGAGGACACCGCCGGCUCCGCCGAGGCCCCACCCCGCCAACAACGAGGCAGAGGACACCGCCGGCUCUGCCGAGGCCCCGCCCCGCCAACAACGAGGUAGAGGACAUCGCCGGCUCCACCGAGGCCCCGCCCUGCUGCCAACGAGGCCGCGCCACACAGAAAACGAGGAAGAGUAGAACACGGUAGGUCGCCGCCGCUCGGGUCCAAGUAAGGCCACCGCUGCUACCCUCCGUUUGAAGCCAAGCUAGGCGAGUUGACCAUUGACGGCCGGUUAGCUUCUUGGCGGCAAUGUGGAGUCAGAGAGCUGCGUUGGAGAAGAACACUGCUUCUACUUAACUGCUGGUGUAGUUGGCUGACUGACAGGUGGGCCCAAUAGGCCACAUGUCAGUUACGCAACUGCACCUGCAGUUAAGUCACUGAAGUUUCUGUUCGGCUCAGCGGGACACAGGUGGGUAGCUUCGGUUAAUUAAUUAUACCUCCAGCGCACCCCUUUUUAGUUGAAGAAUGUAUGAAAUGUAAUGAAAUUCGGCAUGUUUAUAUGAAAUCCGAUCGUGUAUGAAUGGAUUUAUUUUGAUUAGUUCGAAUUCCUGUAUCACUGGCAUUGGAUGAACAUGCAAAACAAUACGUACUAGCAUUAUUCCCAGGGUGAUCACCUCGUUUGCAGCAGUUUCACAUGUACUCCCUCCGGUCCUUUCUAGUCUGCAUACAAGUUUUGUCUGCAGUCAAAGUAUCUCUACUUUGACCAAUCUUAUACAAAAAAGUAUGCACUUUGACAAUGUGCAAAGUAAAAAGGAACAGAAGGAGUACAAAGAGUUUGAGCAGCUUUUUAGCGUUUCUGUACAUUGCAAUCAAACACACAGGCCUGGCAAUUCAUAGAGAACAUUCAAAACAAUCGAUGAUUAUGCAUCUCAGCGACUCACAUGUCAGAGGCAAUAUUUACUUCACAACUAAAGAAUAAAGAAAAAAUUGAUUGACGCUGCUGACAGCAAAGGGCGUCCCAUUCGAAAAUAUCAAAUGCAUGUCUUGCUAAAAUCAAUGAGCAAAAUUUGAUAAGGUUGUCCCAUUCCAAAAUAUCAAAUGCCUAUGAUUGUGGAAUGGGCAGGGUUUGCCGUCAGUUUGGACAUUGACAUGGCACCUCGUGCUAAAUAAACCAGCUAUUCUUUUUGUGCAGUUCCACCAAAAUCAACCAAAUUCGCGCGUAGCUUGUAUGAUUUCGCCCUUAUAUGUUGCAACGCCUUGAACUUAUUGGCACCUCCUUUCCUGUGGUGGAAAUGAAUGAUUCGAUGUAUUCAUGAACAUUUUGUGCAGUUCCCAUUGAAAUCAAGCUGAGCACCCCUGUUUGCACAAAUACAAAAAAGUGUUUAGUAUAAAGCAAACUGUACUAUGAAUUGACAGUUUCAACAGGCACAUACAUGGUCCAUGUAGAGCACACUUUUAGAAAAAUGGAACUCACCAGAAAGAAUCCUAGAACAACAUUGCACUCGCGCAUCAUAGCAAAAAGAUGGAGAUUUGUCAGUCCUUCUGAGCUGAAGUUAGUUUGGUCUUGUGGGGAGUAAUGUAACCAUCCUUCAACUGCUCCUUCUGAUGAGAAGAUAGACAGGGCUUCUUCAUCCUGGCAUAAUCGGAACUAGUCACUUCACGUACUCCAUAUUCUUCUUCAGAGGAAGAUGAUCCUGUUGUGCAAAGACAAGAGGACUACUAAAUGCUAGCAUCCCUGUUUGCUCGAAAAAAGGAAAGGAAAUAUUUAAAACAUCACAGAUGAAGCACUUCUCAAGGACAAUACCACUUUUUCAUGACAGUAUCUAAACAGUAGCACAACACCAAUAGAGAUGACAAAGCUCAAUCAUAUGAAUGAAAUCAGUGGGCGAGUACCAACCUUUGUCAGGAGGCUUAUUGUGUAGAGCAUAUAGAUGAAGCACUUCUCCGAAACCAUUUGUUGCUAUCUACGAUGGUGGCCAUGCUUACUAUAUACUCCUCAAUUAGUUUAAUGUUUCCAACAUCUUAUUGUGCAGUUCCACUAAAAUAUAUGGUAUCUUCAAAGAAGAUCCCUGUUUGCACAAGUUGAGAUAAUUACAUAUUACAUUAAGAGUGGCAUCAAAUCAGUGGCAAAACAAUUGCUCGUUCCAGCCAUAGCAAUAAAUUAAGAUGCAAAACUAUAUCAUUACUUGUGUCAUCACAGUUCCAGUGCUUCAUUACAACACCGGGAGUUGAUUUUUGUUUUUCUUCCGCUUGUUCUUCCCCUUCAUCACUUGGUUCAAUAACAGACAAGCUUCGCCUUCAAUGUAAGAUUUGGCAUGUCAAUUAGGGAGCACAAGUAUAGUACUAAACUUAAUUUUCUGAUGGAAGUGGCAAAAUAUAGGCCAACAGUUGUGAAAUAUCCUUAUCUUACCUCAAUGGGAUAUUACGGUGCACAUACAGAUUGGAAGUCUUGUCUCCAUUUGUGCAGUUCACUAAAAUCAAGCAAAAUUAUCGUACAAGUAGCACAACAUAUGAAAGCACACUGCAGAAUCAUGUGAAAGAAGGCUAGUACUGACCUCUCAUGAUGCGGAAUUCAAACAACUCACAAGAAGAAGAUCUGUACCAAAUUCGCCUUAACGGGUAGGAAGUAAGAUCUCCUCUAGUGCAGUUCCACUAAGAUCAAGCAAUCAAGCAACGUUGUCGGUGUGACAUUUUGGUUGAACUGCACAAAACACUCUUAAAACAAAAGUGUUUUGUGUAGUGCAACAAAAGGUCACAAUGGCAACGAGGUGAAGUAGAUAACCCUGUUUACACAGAGGUGCAAAGGAAACAAUUAGUGGUCAAUAAUGGUGGAUGACACAGAAGCCAAGAAAAAGAAGCAUCUACCUUAUCUAAAUGGGAAAGAAAGCAAGACAGUAGCAUUUCUCAAAUGGUGGCAUUGAUUAAUAUUAACAUAGAGAUUAUAUUAACAAUUAAAUUCGUUAAACAUGUAAUUUGCUUUUAACUGUGGCAUUGCAUCAAUUUUCCAGCGGCAUUAUUAGAGGGUGUUUGUUUACAGGGACAUUUUGGUGUAGGGACUAAAAAAACUCCGUGUCAGUCCCAUCUAAACCAAACAGGAGGGACUUUUAGGGACUAAAAGUGGGCAUUUGGGACUAAAGAAAGAAGACCCCGAGGGAGUCUUUUUGGGACUUUUUCCAACAGUUGCCCCUGCCAUGCAUCGCACCUUGUCUCUAUUAGUUCAUUACUAGGGGUAACAUGGUCUUUUAGCAUGUCAUUUAAUAACCUCUAGUCCAUGUUUAGUCCCUAGAACCAAGCAGGUAGGGACUAGGUAGUUUUUAACCAAACAGGGCCUUAGAUUAACAACAGCUAAUGAGUUGCAUGGGACAGUGGACGCACCAGCACCAUGUGCAUCUACCGAUGUACUAUGGUCAUGCACAGUCUGUUGCAACAAAGAACAAACAACCAAAGAGCAUAUUUGUGUUGGUCCCAGUUUUGUUAUCUUUAGACACCUUUCCCUAUGUGAGCUCAGCAAAUCUACUCCUGCUCAAACUCUACAGCCUUGUCCCUUCCUUUCCUUUUUGAACUAGUACUUUUGCUCCUUCCUUUCCUCUUUGAACCACGUCCUAGAUUUAUGCGAUACAACUUUCCCCACUACUUUCCCCCAUUCCUUUCAUCUUUGAACCACGUCCUAGAUUCAUGCUAUACAACUUUCCCCCUUCAUUUCCUCUUUGAACCACGUCCUAGAUUCAUGCUAUAUACAACUUUUCCCACAACUUUCCCCCACUCCUUUCCUCUUUGAACCAUGUCCUAGAUUCAUGGUAUACAUGCAGCUAGAGCAAUGCAUGUGCAGUAAGUAAAUUAUACCUUAAGGUUCUUGGGGCAUGGUUCGGUGGGCGACGGGACGGCGGCAAAGAAGAAGGGGUCGGAGGCCCUCCCGCGCCGCCGCUGGGUGGAAAGUGAACAGCUGCGCCAGUAGUCCCUCGCCGACGGCGACAGCGUUAAGCCUCCUUCCCUUCCCGGCGGACGGAUCUUGUCGGCUCUUUGAGCAGCAGUGAGGGGAGAGAGAGGCCAACGAAGUCUUGUUUAGAUCUGGAGAGGGCGAGAGAGUGUGAAGAGAUCAACUACUCCCUCCGUUCCAAAUUACUCAUCGAAGAAAUGGAUGUAUCUAGAACUAAAAUACAUCUAGAUACAUCCAUACCUGCAACAAGUAAUUCGGAACGGAGGGAGAGAGCGAGAGAGUAUGAAGAGAGCAACUACAAGCGCUGAGGCUCCAGCGUGUAUAUAUAUACUGGAGAGAGAGUGUGAAGCGUGCAAACCCUAGAAAACAUUUUGACCAGUCAAAGAAUCCUCCUGGCACAAAUUAUGCUCAAGUGUAGUUAUCGAACCCGAGACCUCAAGUUAGAAGGUGCAACGGGACCAAGAUGCAUGCGUGUGUGUGUGUGUGUGUGUUUAACAGCAUGUGUGUGUUAGAGAGAGCGACAGAUCGACCUACUCCUACAGAGAGAUGUUGUGUAGUGUACGAUUUUAGUCGCGAGAGUCGGUGCAUCCUCUCGUUUCCGGGCGUGUCUGGUAGGGACAUGCAUACAGCUGCCACGCCUGCUCCUGACCAGCUUGGCCCACCGAAAGCCCCUCCAUCACCCGCGCGCGCUUCCCGCUCGAAACGGUCAGCGCCGCUCCAAAGAAUCGGUGCCGCAUUCAUGCCUGGGCAGAGCGGACGUGACCUCUCACUGGCGCAAGAGUGAUAGUUACUGCUGGGUCUAUGUGAUUUGACGGCUCAUUGGUCUUUAUUACUGAGGUGGUAGGACUGCUGGAUGUCCCACGCUUUCGGCGAAAGGAGGUACUACUACUAGAUUACAAUUUUCUCCAUUCUUACAGCGAAGGCGUGCAAGAGCAGUGAAAGCACGCAGGCUCAAUGAUUACAUGGCCCACCUCACACUAUCACCGUGCGACACCUAACUCUUUACAUAGUACUCCCUCCAUUCCUAAAUAUUACUAGAUGAGUCCCCGCGCGUUGCCGCGAAACAACGGUAUAUCUCUCUGUGCAAAAUUAUCGAUUUCAUAGAACUAAAAAAACUCUAUAACCGCAUGACAAAUGUGGUAGCCAAACUAAAUAAACUCCCAUCAUCAUUUAGAUCAUCCCACGUAAGGAAAAAAGAUCAGCCAACUCCUACUGCAUAAUGGGAUUAUAUUUUUCUUUUUGACAUGUUAAUGGGACUUAAAAGCUCACUUACAUGCACGCUACGGGUGCAUGCUUGCAUGCAGACAUGUCGAUGUGAUUUAAAACCCACUCACAUGCACGUGCCAUGGUAUUUCUGCAUGCUUGCAUGUGGCUUAGUGUGGAGCCUCUCAGCGUCUAGAUCAGACGACUAUUAUGGACUGAUUUACUUCAUCUAACGGCUACAUCAAUUUUGAUGAUGUGGCUCAAGGAGAGGAUAGAGAAUUCGUAGUAGUGGGGGCUAGCUAUUACUAGUAGAUAAGUCUUUGUAGAGAUUCCACUACAUACGGAACAAAAUGAAUGAAUCUACACUUAAAAUGCAUCUAUAUACAUCCGCAUGUGGUUCAUGGUGAAAUCUCUACAAAGACUUAUAUUUAGGAACGGGGGAGACGGCGUACUAAGGAAGCUUCUCCUCAUUCUGCGAGUUGACGGGACACAUCAAAAGUACUCCAGUGUAUAGAGCCUUGCCUCUAAGGUAGGCCCCACAUGGUUUGCCCCUUUUUUUAACAUAACACAUCAAGUCGCAAUUUGUUUGUUCACUCGUGGUAGACGAUCCUCCCUCCACCAAGUGGACAACCAGUACAUGUGCCAAAUUACCACGUGGGAUGCCUUUUUCGUACAGAAAUGAGCUCCACAGUGUACCCGCAUGGGUGUGGUUGGGAAAGAGACGAGAGUACGUGCGCCGUGCAUGCACUCUUCUCUUCGUGCAUGUCCCCCACCUACGUGGGUGUGUGUGAGAGAUACAAACCGCGUUCAUGAGUGUUUUUUGUUUUGGGGUGGGGGUGGGUGGGGGGUUGAUUUUGUGAAUUAUUUGUGGGAAUAUGUGUCGAUGACAUCUCAAACAAAAUUUUGCAUGCAAUGUGUGUGAAAUGGAGGCCUAUCCAUAUCAUACAUAGAGGGUCGGGCAAUCCACGAGAAGAGAGGGAGGGGUCAUAGCUAUCAAUAGUGUCGAAGAGAGGAUCAAGUGGGUGGGUGCGAGAUCGAUGAAGAGAGCCAUCGAAAUUGUGUGUGUGUGUGUGUGCAAGUCAAAGAUAUAGGGCAACUGGCCUAACGAAAUGUUAGAGGGCACAUGUCAAGUUUGUGUGUGGCAGGGAGACAUGACUAGAGCGCUUGAUGUAUCGGUGUGUGUGGAGGGAGGGGUAGGCAGAGGCCUAACUAUAGAGGUAGAACGACUCGUAUAUGUGUUGAGAAGGAGAGACCCAGCUAUGUCUUGAGGGAGAUCGGUCGACAUCCAUACAUAACUGAAGGACGGGAAAUAUGAUGGGACAGAGAGAGAGAGAGAGAGGAGAGAGAGGGGGAGGGAGAGGGGUAGAGUGCUGGAUGGGUGAUGGAGUUGCUUCUCGAAGAUGGUGGGAGAGGCCUACUAGACAAACUGAGGGUGGAACUGCAAUGUUAUCAAUAAGAGUGUGGAUGUGUUUCUGUGUGUGCCUGUGCGUGAUAGAUCUGUGGGGACGCAUCCAUGGAUGAUGAAGGGGAACCAUGUGUUUGGUAAGCAAACCUAACUAGAUCGGUAGAUCAAUUGUUGUUUGUCGGAGGAAGGGAGAGACACAACUAAUGAGGUAGAUCGAUUGACGUGUGGGUAAAAAUGAGUUAUAAGGACCUAGCUAGCUAUAUGUAUAGCGAGAGAUCGAUCGGUGUACGCCCAUUUGUUAGAGGCAAAUAAGGCCCAGCGAGAUGGAUAGACAGAGAGAAUGGAGCUAGGAGGUGGUGCGAGAGGCCCAACUACUAGCUAGAUACGGGGAGGAGUGUGCGGUUGUGAGAUCGAUGAAAAGAGGGGCGAGAGUUUACACGUGUGUCUGACCGUAUGAGAGACACGAGGCAAGGACACAUAAACAAGGAGAUUGAAGGUGUGUGUGUGUAUGUUGUAGGCAGGCAUCGCUAGAGAGGUUUAUCGAUCGGUGUGUGUCGGAAAGGAGUUGUGGAGACUCUGGGAGAAUGACCUAAAGAAAAAAAAUGAAUGUGCCCGGUGUAUAGAAUGCCGAGGGAGGGGGAGGGCGAGGAGGGCGUGUGCAUGCAUGAGAGAAAGUUAGUGGUAGCUACAAAGGUUAGAGGAUUGUGUGGGUGUAAGAGACUAACAAAGAUCAUAAUUUGAUAUGAAAGCGGAUUCAUAUAUUUGAAUAGGAGAUCAUAGUGUUUUAAACAUUGCAUGCAUGAAUAUAGCGGUGAUACACGUGUUGUGCACAUGUUAUACCAUAAUGUGAUAAUGCAUGGCGUUUGCAACUCAUAGCUAAAUGCCGAACAAUCUAAACCAUACUAUACAUCAAACAAUCUCACAUUUUAUUUGAAUUUGUGAUAAUGUGUGGCGUUUGCAGCUUACAGCUAAAUAUAGAACAAUCUAAACAAUAUUGUAUAUCGAACAUUCUCAGAUUUUAUUUGAAUUUGUGGUAAUGUGUGGUGUUUGCAACUCACAUCUAAAUACUUGUAGGCGUAGGGGGCGGGGCACCAUACAUAAUGUGAUAAACACAUUAUACAUAUGAGACAUGGUUUAGAUUAUGAAGAUCUAGCUAGAGCUAGAAAUGUAAUGUGACUUGAAAUCAAAAUAAAGUGGAUUCAAAAAAUCUAGUUUGAGUUCAUAUAGUACACAUAGUUCAUAUGUAACUCGAGACUAAUCAUGUGGUGUCUGUGAAGAUAAUACACAAACGAUGGUUUAACUUGACAAUAAUGAUGAUUGUAGAUCUUAUUAAAACAAAGAAACAAAUUCAAAUGCUUUGACUUCACAACAAUCAUUACUGUAGAUCUUAUUCAAAUAGAGAAACGAAUUCAAAUUUAGUUCAUAUUGAAGCGGUAGUAUAUACAUUUGGAAUGCACUAAAACGUUCAUUUGAGUAGUAGGUUGCAUGCAUUAUACACGUAGUGAAAUAGUUUAAUUGAACAUAACAUGAAUUCAAAAUUUUGGAUGACAUUUGUAGUGUGCAUUGAUUUGGUACAGUACACGUUAGGCUUGUCCAGAAAUUUCAACCCGUGCCUUGUUAGCCCGAAAUAUUUAAGAUAUAUCUUUGUCUUGUUGUGCUCCGACAACUCCCUCCAUCUCAACCUGCGCCUUGCUAUUCCGAAAUUACAACGCGCGCGAAAACUCCCACCUCCUGUGAAAUGCCGACACGCGAAAUCCCCGUGGUACCCCCGAACCAAAAGAACCGCCUCAAAUCGGUGGGGGUACUUUCGUAACUUACCCCACAUUUUGGACAAGCGCGUCUCUAAGCCAUGGUUCCCCACUGCCAUCCCAUCCGCCCACCCAUUUGUAUACUGAGGCUGCGAAAACCCACGACGAAACCCCACACCCUGCUCCGUCCUCCACCCAGCCGGAGCCUCUUCCCCGGCGACAUCGUCCACAGCAACACCUCGACGUCCCUCAUCCACCAUACCAGAUGAGGAUCCAUCAUCGAUCUCAUCGUCCCGCCGGUUCAGCCACCCCGUCCUCCACCUCCAAGGAGCUGCCCCGACGUUCCCCUUGUCUUUCGCGCCACCUCCAUUCCCAUGCCGCCGUCUUCACCUGCACCACCGGAAGAGCAUCAUCAUCACCGUUUCCUCGGAUGAAGCUGCAGCCUAAUCGGCGCCACCAAAGAGGUUGUACACUAAUCGCCGCAUUUUCUUCUUGAUUCGAUCUCACGGUGCUACCGGCGCUCGGUCCCGAGCUGACACGGCGCGACUCCAUCCACGGCGGCGUAGCCGACCACUUCCUCCACGGUGUCGCUCCCUCGUUGGCGACGUCCACAUCAGUAGGAGCUGCUUUUGCUUUAGCUCUCGCUCGCGCUGCUGCUCUGCUCUUGCUCUCGGUCCCCUGCCUGGUCUGCUCUUGCUAUUGCUCUUGCUCGCGCUGCUGCUCUCGCUCUUGCUCUUGCUUGCGAUGCUGCUCCAAUUUAGCUACACUUCAGUCGACUAAAUCGACUUUUGGGUCAGNNNNNNNNNNNNNNNNNNNNNNNNNNNNNNNNNNNNNNNNNNNNNNNNNNNNNNNNNNNNNNNNNNNNNNNNNNNNNNNNNNNNNNNNNNNNNNNNNNNNNNNNNNNNNNNNNNNNNNNNNNNNNNNNNNNNNNNNNNNNNNNNNNNNNNNNNNNNNNNNNNNNNNNNNNNNNNNNNNNNNNNNNNNNNNNNNNNNNNNNNNNNNNNNNNNNNNNNNNNNNNNNNNNNNNNNNNNNNNNNNNNNNNNNNNNNNNNNNNNNNNNNNNNNNNNNNNNNNNNNNNNNNNNNNNNNNNNNNNNNNNNNNNNNNNNNNNNNNNNNNNNNNNNNNNNNNNNNNNNNNNNNNNNNNNNNNNNNNNNNNNNNNNNNNNNNNNNNNNNNNNNNNNNNNNNNNNNNNNNNNNNNNNNNNNNNNNNNNNNNNNNNNNNNNNNNNNNNNNNNNNNNNNNNNNNNNNNNNNNNNNNNNNNNNNNNNNNNNNNNNNNNNNNNNNNNNNNNNNNNNNNNNNNNNNNNNNNNNNNNNNNNNNNNNNNNNNNNNNNNNNNNNNNAGGAUGGGGGCGAUGGUCGCCGGCGGUGGUGGGGCGUUGGCGGGGCGGUGGCGUGGAGAUCACCCGAGAAAAAGCUCGGCACGGGGGCCUAGAGGGAUGGCCGGGGCGGCGGCGGACCGGCGGCGGACCGGCGGUGGGGAGUGUUUUCGGGGCGGGCGGGGCAGCGCACCGCCGGCCGCGGGCGACGGGGGGCUGCUGUUUGGCCGGUGGUGGCUGGCGGCUCAGGGGGGUGGAGGUUGAAGAUGAACCGCAGGCCAUUGAUUUCGUAUCCAAUGGCUGCAAAAUCAACUGACCAGAGAUGAAAAAGUCAGUCGACCGACGUGUAGCCUCACCUUGCUAGUGUGUUCAGUUUCGAUAGCAAAAUUCAGUUUCGACGGCAAAAUUCAGUUUCGAUAGUUAAGUUCAGUUUCGAUAGUUAAGUUCAGUUUCGACAGUUAAGUUCAGAGAUGAGCGGCUGAUGUAUUUUACAUCUAGCACUUUGUGGUUAUGUAUUUUACGUCAUGUAUUAGAGAUGCUAUUAGAAUUCCACUCAGGUUAACGUUGUUCGUUGUCUCUCUUGUCCUGCUUCAGCCUCGGCGUCGUACAACUCACCGGAGUUGCUCCAACGACGAAACCCUCCAUCAUAGCGGAGCAGUACCUCAGGCUCCAUCUCCAGACGCCUAAGAUCUUCUUCCCCUCCUCCGAUAGCAAACUCAGCCGGAGCAUCCUCACCGGCCAACCCAAUCACGCUGAGAUCGACAUGGCUUCGCCAAAGAGGUUGUACACUUGUUGCAUCUCUUUUUUACUCUACAUGUUAUAUAUAUUGUCCACUGAGCACGCGGAUUUGUUCCUUUAGUGUCUCCUUGAAAGAAAAAACGUAGGAAUUUUAAUUUUCACUUGUCCUCCUUUUCAAAUUCCUAUUCAUGAAGCACAAGACUAAGAGAUAGUAGCAUAAUAUCAUUAUAACCGUACAUUUUCUUGUGGUUUGACUUAAUCUCACCAUGCUUCUUUGCAUCUUGUGAUCUUCCAAUUGUUGUGAAUAAAACACCCAGAUUGGCAGAAAUCCUAUGUUUUUAAAUUCUCUGUUUUGCACGUGCAUUCCUAUCCUAUUCCUGUCUAUUUCCUAUCCAUGCAUUGUUGGAAUCCUCCAAUUCAAACGAGCCCUUACAGAAUUACUUCUCUUACAGAUAGUUGUCAAAGAAAACCUUGCGUGGUUUAUCCCGCUCCUGCUGCGCCGUCGUCCACCCCAGCUCAGCUGCUCCAACGAUAGAAGGGUCCAGCACAGCAGGGAUCCGGCCUCCAAAUUGUCUUUCGCCGCCUCAGAUCUUCUUCCCCGCCGCUGGCAGCCAUGAAAACUGCAUUACCAUCAGAUGACCUCGAGGACUACACGGGUCUGCAAGAGAGGUCGCACUCUUUCGUGUCUGCUUACGUUAUGCAUCGCUUAAUAUUACAUGCUACUUUAUCAUCCUGUUCAUCGAUUAGACUCUGAGUCAGCUCCAAACUAAUGGUCAAACUUGGGUUUUUAAAUGGUUGUGGGGUACAUAUCGGGGCCGCUAUUAAUAGUAUUUAUCUACUAUCUGAUUAAUCUCCGGUGUCUACUAUGAGUUUCAUGUUGGGUGGGAAACAAACAGUAAAGAAGCCAUUAUCUGUAUUUUUUAACUGAAGCCAUUAUCUGCCUGCUAUUAUUGGUUUUGGGUCUAUCCAUAGGUUGCUACCAUCACUCUGUAUUUCUGCAUGCACUCCUUACAUAAUCUCACUAUGUUUUAUUCCUAUGCAUGAAAGUUAUUGUAAACAAUGGAACUGAACAUGUAGAGCAAAAGAGACGAGCCUUGCGUGUCAAUAAAAUUUCAUGCAGACGUCGCUCCAUGGUAGGCGCAAAGGCAGCCCCCCUCCACGCAUUUCGGAUUGUAAUCAAGAGGAAGAUAUCUGUUCUGAGGGGGAUUCAGAAGGAGAAGACAACUCCUAUUUACCCCCUGAGGUCUUCGCUCUAACUUGGCAUGUUGAUGUUGGUUAUAUCAUGCAUACGGUGUCUUGCAUUGCUUACUUUAUACAUCAAAUAUGUCAUAUGCUUAGUUUAGACAUCCUUUGUGCGAAUGCCAUCUGUUUAGUUUAUUCAUCAUUUAUGUGAAUUAUGCAAUGCCAUCUUGUUUAGCCAGGCAUCAUAUAUGUGAAUUUUGCAAUGCCAUCCUGCUUAGCCAGUCAUCUUAUAUGUAAAUUAUAUCAGGCCAUCCUUUUUUUGUUACAUAUUACAUUUGUCAACAAUGUUAGUACAUUCAAUUAAUCUUUGUGUGCAUCCGCCAUUUGACACGGUGAUGGCAAAUUCUAGAGUGAAAACAAGGUCUUCAGAGCAGACUAUGCUAUCUGACGAAGCGCAUAUCUCGCUGGUUACGGAUAGCUCCUCGGAGGAGGAUUCAGAGAUAGAUGACCAGUCCUAUCCCCUCCCCCAAGGUGCAUGCUCUAACUUGGUAGGGUUAUGUUUCUCAUAUCAUGUGUAUGGUGUCUCGCAUUGCUAUGUCAUUUGAUUAGUUUAGACAAGCUUUGUGUGAAUGCCACAUGUUUAGUGUCUAAUUACCAUAUAUGUGAAUUAUGCAUUGCCAUCUUGUUGCAAGACAUUAUAUAUGUGAAUUAUACAAUGCUAUCUUGUUGCAAAGGCAUUAUAUAUGUGAAUUAUGCAAUGCCAUGUUGUUUAGCCAAUCAUCAUGUAUGUGAAUUAUAUCAUGCUAUCAUUUUUUUGUAUUACGUGUUCCAUUUGUUGACAAUGUUUGUAUAUUCAACUACUCUUCCUGUGCAUCAGCCAUUUGAAGUGGUGAUGGAAGUAUCUGGAGUGAAAACAAGGUAUUCAGAGCAGACAAUGCUACCUGCUGAAGCAGACAUCUCGCUGGUUAUAGAGAGCUCCUCAGAGGAGGAUUCAGAGACUGAUGACCAAUCCUAUUUCCCCCCUGAGGUCUAUGCUCAAACUUGGCAGGGUUAUAUUACCCAUGUCAUGCAUGUUGUCUUGCAUUGCUUAGUUUUUACAUCAUACAUGGAUUGCCAUAUGCUUACUUGCUUACUAUAUAAAUCAUAUAUUUGAAUUAUAUCAUGCCAUCAUGUUUACAUAGUACAUACACAUCAUCUAUCUGAAUUAUGGCAUGGCAACCCAUUUAAUAAAGACAUCAUAUAGUUAUAUCAUCUCAUCCUUUUUAGUGUUUACAGUCAUCAUAUUUUGAAUUAUGGCAUUCUAUCCGUGAAUGUAUGUGAAUUAUGUCAUGCCAACCUAUUUAAUAAACACAUUAUAUAGUUAUGUCAUGUCAUCCUGUUUACAUAGUCUCAUAUUUUGAACUAUGUCUUUCCAUCUUUUUUAGUUAGCCAUCAUAAUGUGAAAUUGUGUCAUGCUAUCCUGUUUAGUUAGCCAUCAUAUAUGUGAAAUUGUGUCAUGCUAUCCUAUUUGGUUAGACAACAUAAAUAUGAAUUAUUUCAUGCCCUCUUUUAUUCCCCACUAUCCAUUGCACCUGUCUAUCAUACAAUGUCUAUACUUUCAAUUACUUUUCUUGUUUAUCAGCCAUUUGAAUUGGAGAGUGUGAUGGCAGUAUCUAAGGGAGUAACAACAUGGUCUUCAGAAAAGACAGUGCUACCAGUUGAUGCAGAUAGAACCACGGUUGUACUUGCCCAAGGACCAGAUCCACCACACAUAACCCAGACUCUUGCAGAUUGUACCCUACCCAGUUGGACAGAGAACCAGCUACACCCCCUUCUAACACCAACCCCAGCAAAUAGUAACCCAGUUCCAGUUGACACAACACCGUCUCCACCAUAGAGCACCCAAACACGAGCAGUUAGUAAGGGAACUGCAGUGCCCAAAGCACGAGGACCACCACUCCGAAUCCCAACUCAACGCUUAAAGGAGAAGAAGAUUUGUUCUCAGGUCAGGUUCUGUAGCUAUGGUUCAUACUCCUUUGCUCUUGCAUUACUGUAUUUACUCAUACCAACUAUUUUCAAAUUUGAAGGAUGGAAUUGAAACUCCAAUGGCGCAACAGGUAUGUUUUAAACCUGUUUCUUUAACUGGUUUGCUAUUGUAACCUGCUCUAUGUUGAUUUCAGUUUCAAUUAAUAAACAAUUAUGUUCUCAUGUCAUGCACAUUACAAGUGUUGUUAUUGCUCUAUAGUUACCCAUACUUAUAUUCUGUCUAUUCUGCUUUGUCUUGAACAAAUAUUAUUUGAACUGUGUCUCUAUCUUGAUUUGGCAACAAAAACUAGAAUGAUAUAGACCAUAAAGUGACCAUGGUACAUAGAUAUAUGUUUGUUUCAUGCUGUUAUCCUAUCCACUUUACUACUGAACUCAUUUACCAAAAUGAGUUUCAUAUACAACAUGGUAAACAUUUGAUGUGUCUGCUUGUUUCUCUUUUAGAAUGCGGACAAAAUAUUGGAGAACAGUACCGCGUUAUCCAAUGGUAAAGGAAGUAAUGCAGAUAAGGUUCAAGAUAGUGAGACAUCCCUGUUGGUCUCCAAGAAAGCUGAUAAAAACUAUCUUGAUGACAGUGAGGGAACCCAAAAGUCAUGUCUUGAUGUAGUGUUCGAGUUACUGGCCACUAUUGCUGGCACAAGCUCUUCGAACUCGCUGCCUGAAUCAGUUCGUCUUCUUGAGUCUCAACUUCAAGUUGAAAGACAUCGAUCAUAUGUGCUGCGACAGGAAGCUGAAGGACUGAGGAAGUCCUUGUAGAAUUCAGAUGCAUAUUUUCUGGUGCAAUAGCAAGCACUAGAGGAUUUAAGCACCAAACAAGAGAAAGUUAAUAUGCUUGCUAAGCAUCUUGCCAGCAUUAUGGGUAUCCAGGAUAUUGUUUCUUGAGAUCUUCUAAAGUGGUUUCAGUUCUGGAUUUGUUUUGCUGCGGUGUUUAUUUGCACUGGUCGCUAACUUUGACAACCAGUGUAUAUGAUAUGCUGCUAUGUUCCCUAUAUUUGCACUGGUGGCGAACUUUGAUGCCUAGUGGAUGUAAUAUGUGUAAUAGCCGUGAUAGCCUAGCGUUAGUUGCUUUCUUAUUUAUUUCCUUGUUGUCUUGUUUAUUUGUUUGCUUGUAGUCAUUGCAGUUCUUUUUCCGCGGUUAGCUAGUGGCUGCAAUAACCUAUUUUUUAAAACUAGGCCACAAUAACCAUGGGCUAAUAUUUACUGUAGUGACACUGGGCCUCCUACUGGCCAUAGAAACAGUGGGCCUUCUACAGGCCGUAGAAACAAUGGGCCUUUUACGGGCCAUAGAAACAAUGGGCCUUCUGCGGGCCGUAUCAUUAAUGGGCCUUAUACGGGCCGUAUGAUCGAUUGGCCAAACAUGGGCCAAACAGACCGCAUUAUGGCCGUAAACGGGCUAGAGUUGGAAUUGUCCGUUCAUGGGCCGACCAUAACGGGCCAUCGUUAAUAGGCCGUAUUUGAUGACGCUAUGAAAACGGCCCAACGUAUUAACGAACCACAAACGGGCCGACUGUAACCACGGGCUGAAUUUGGCCCACAAGCAGAAAAUGACAGUAACGGGUCGUAAGUAAACGAACGCUGGAAAUGAGCCCAAGAAUAAAUGGGCUCUGAGAAGGCCAAAAGAUAACAUGGGCUGGAAACGGCCCAACGGAAUAACGGGCCGUUAAUGGGUAUAAAGUGAUACACUAUUCAUUACGGGCCAGUUUCACCACGGGCCGUUAAUGGGUGUAAAGUGAUACACUGUUCAUUACGGGCCAGUUUCACCACGGGUCGUUAAUAGGCCAAGAGUUACAUAUGGCCUCAUAUGGACCGAAAGACGUCAUGGGCCAUACAUGGGCCAGAAGUGAAAACGGGCUGGAAUCGUAUUGGGUGGCCCAGAUGACGCUACUGGGCCUAAUUCGGAUAGGGUGUAACGGGCCUUAGGUUAGCGGGCUGUAAAUGGGCUAUAUGCGAACAGACCAUUAACAGGCUUUACAUGGGCCGGCCCGGCACCUUUUGACCAAGUCAAACGGGCCAGCCUUUUCACAGGAAUGGGCCUCUGUUGGGCCGUGCCACAUGUCGACGUAUCAUAGGCGCCUUCUGUCCAAUGAGUGGAUGACAUCUGUCCCAACGAUGAGCCGACACGUGUUUCCUCCAGCCAAUGAUGAUUUUACACGUGGAAAAUCCCCAUUGGUUAGGGUUGUUAAUGGGUUAUCGGAUCCAAAACCUGACCCAAUAGCUUAACGGCGUUCCUUUACGGUGGAUGCCACGUGUCGGUCACCCUUGACGAAAGCACUUCUAUGACGCGGGAUUUAUCGUCAUGGAAGUGGACACUUCCAUGAUGAUAAUUUUGGUAAUGUCAUGGAACACUUCUACGACAGCACAGGUAUGACUAUCUUGAUUCUGUCAUAAAAUCAUCAUGGAUGUACAUGCAUGACAGAAAAUGCUACCUACUGUGACAAACACGUAUCAUCACGGAAGUGUAUUUUUUUGUAGUGAAGGCUAACCCAAACCACAUGGACGAGGUCGGACCUGUGGGGCCCGAUGGGAAAGAGAUCCCCGUCAGUUUAGUGUAUGAUCAAGUAGAAUUAGCCACAAAGUAUUCCCAACAGGAUUGUAGGCUAGACAGCCUAUUGGAUGGUAUAGAAGAAGAAUUUAAUCAGUCUUAGUGAUUGUGUACUUCAAGUGACAUAUGUAAUGUCCCUAGCCGGAUUGUAAAUCAUUUGUCAUGGUGGACCUUUUUGCUUCGACCCCUGGACCCGAUAGUCUGGAGUGUAUCCGAAUACCCACUCGAUUACAUAAAAACUGGGGUAUGCAUGGAAACCAGGCGUAGGGGUCAUAAGUGCUUGAACAGACAAGUACCUUACAUGGAUAGUAAGAAACAUCUUCCAGGGAGAAUAGUUCCGUUAAGGGUUCCUUUCCCUGGGUACGCAAGCCCUAAUGUGCAUGUCUGAACUACGAGAUGCAGGCUAAAAACAUCUGGGGGCAUGUAGUAAUUUAAAUGAAAGUCAUCUUUUAUUCAUCGGCCGAAUAUUCCCUUAAGAGCGCUAGCUUUCGGCUUCACCCAGUCUGAGGUACACAUCCGGCUGACCCGACAGUAACAAUCGCAGAGGUGCUCCCCUUAUGCCCUAGCCAAAUUAACGGUAACAUAGGGCAUAAAUACAAGAGCCAGGCAACCCAGCUUGGCCAAAACUUAAGUCAUAUCGAUGCAUAUAAUGGCAAAAAAAGGUACAUGCGGAAGAAUAACACAUGUGCGGGGCAUAAAGCCCGGAAAGAUAAUUGGAUUAAGCUUCUGUAUAAGAAGCCCCCAGGUAUAUUAAGCGCGGUUAGCGCGUCAAGAUUGUGUAACCAAGACACAAGUGUAGCCCUUUGGGGCCUUGAAGGGAAAAGAGAGAAAGAAAGAGAGAAAAAACUGAUGUGCAAAAAAUUGAUGGAGGUAAGGAGACGAACAUAGAGUUUGGUGCUAGGCGUAGAAUCUUCGGAGUUUGGCUGCAUCCCAUGGGUUUGGCUCGAGUCGAUUAUCCGAUGCAUCCCGUAGGUGGUACACUCCACCGAUCAGAACCUGGUCGAUAAUGAAGGGACCUUCCCAUUUGGGCUUGAGCUUGUUCUUUUUCUUCUUCGGCAGGCGUAGAACUAGUUCGCCAACAUUAUAGGUUUUGGCCCGCACUUCUUUGCUUUGAUACCUUCGAGCCUGUUCCAAAUAGAAUGCGGAAUGAGCUUUUGCCACGUUGCGCUCCUCCUCCAGGGCAUCCAAACUGUCUUGCCGAUCGAGCUCGGCCUCUCUUUCUUCGUACAUGCUCACUCGAGGUGAGUCAUGAAUUAUGUCGCAAGGCAGCACCGCCUCAGCGCCGUACACCAUAAAAAUAGUGUGUAUCCGGUAGUGCGAUUCGGCGUGGUCCGCAGCCCCCAUAGUAUGGAGUCGAGCUCCUCUACCCAAUGAGUGUCUGAUUCCUUUAAAGUUCGGACAAAUCUGGGUUUAAUGCCGCUCAUGAUAACACCAUUCGCUCGUUCGACUUGACCGUUAGUUUGCGGAUGAUAGACAGAAGCAUAAUCGAGCUUGAUGCCCAUGUUGCUGCACCAAAGUUUCACCUAAUCGGCUGUAAAGUUCGUGCCGUUGUCAGUGAUGAUGCUGUGGGGGACGCCAUAACGGUGUACAACCCCGGAUAUGAAGUCUAGCACCGGUCCGGAUUCAGCCGUUUUGACAGGUUUGGCUUCUAUUCAUUUGGUGAAUUUAUCCACCAUGACCAGUAAGUAUUUUUUCUUAUGGGUUCCCCCUUUGAGGGGUCCGACCAUAUCGAGCCCACAGACCGCAAAGGGCCAAGUAAUGGGGAUUGUUUGGAGGGCGGUAGGUGGCAUGUGGCUUUGGUUUGCAAAAAGCUGGCAACCGACACAAUGUUGUACUAGAUGCUGUGCAUCUGCCCGGGCCAUCGGCCAAUAAAAACCUGUACGGAAGGCCUUGCUUACAAGGGCCCGGGCGGCGGCGUGGUGGCCACCGAGUCCGGCAUGGAUUUCUGCCAAAAGCUUCCGCCCUUCCUCUUUGUAGACGCACCUUUGAAGGACUCCAGUUGUGCUUUUCUUAUGAAGCUCUCCCUCAUGGACCUUGUAGGCUUUAGAUCGCCGCACUAUGCAGUGGGCCUCAUUUUGGUCCUCGGGUCCUGUCUAGUUAGGUAGGCCAGGAAUGGUUCUGUCUACGGGGCGAUGACGACCAUUAUCACGUGGGCUGAAGGUGUUAUUUCGCUGGCAGAGCCUCCGAUUGUGUCAGAGUGUUCGGUGUCUGGGGUUGUGGCCGGGUCCGGACUAUUUUUGCCGGUGUCCCCUUCCCAUACCACAGAUGGUUUAAACAGUCUUUCUAGGAAGAUGUUCGGUGGGAGAGGGCCGCGUUUAGCGCCGAGACGGGCUAGGAUGUCCGUCGCCUGGUUGUUUUCCCGGGCCACAUGGUGGAAUUCAAGCCCCUCGAACCGAGCUGACAUUUUGAGGACGGUGUUGCGAUAUGCCGCCAUUUUCGGAUCCUUGGCAUCGAAGUCUCCAUUUAUUUAGGAUAUUGCGAGGUUUGAGUCCCCACGCACCUCUAGGCAUUGGAUGCCAUGGAGACUGCCAUCCGGAGGCCGUGUAAUAGGGUCUCCUAUUCGGCUGCGUUAUCGGAGUCUGUAUAUAGUAUUUGGAGCACGUAUUGCACCAUAUCUCCGGUGGGGGACGUCAGGACGACGCCAGCCCCCAGACCAGCCGGCAUUUUAGAGCCGUCGAAGUGCAUGAUCCAAUUGGAGUAUGCGCCGUACUCUUUAGGGUGUUCGGCUUCUGUCCAUUCGGCUACGAAAUCGGCUAGUACUUGCGACUUAAUGGCUCGUCGUGGCUUAUAUGUUAUGUCAAACGGGACGAGCUCGAUGGCCCAUCUGGCAAUCCGGCCCAUGGCAUCGCGGUUGUUUAUUAUGUCAUUGAGUGGUACUUCGGAAGCCACCGUAAUCGAACACUCUUGAAAGUAGUGCCGUAAUUUCUGGGAUGCCAUAAAUACUGCGUAUGCUAUCUUUUGGUAAUGUGGGUACCGUGAUUUGCAUGGAGUGAGGACGGUGGAUACAUAAUAUACUGGCUUUUGAAGUGGGAAUUUAUGUCCGUCCAUCUCUCAUUCGACGACGAGCACUGCGCUUACAACUUGGUGAGUUGCCGCUAUAUAUAAUAGCAUUGGUUCGCCAAUAGUGGCGCGGCCAAGAUUGGGUUGGUGUCCAGGAUGGCUUUUAUUUCUUCCAAUCCGGCCGUGGCUGCGUCUGUCCACUCGAAGUGUUCGGUGCAUCGAAGAAGGCGAUAAAGGGGAAGUGCCUUUUCUCCUAAUUGGGAGAUAAAGCGGCUUAAAGCUGCCACACAUCCAGUUAAUUUCUGGAUUUGCUUGACGUCAGUUGGGAUAGCCAACUGUGAUAGAGCUCGGAUUUUAGCCAUAUUUGCUUCAAUUCCUCUACUGGAGACGAUGAAGCCCAGGAGCUUUCCGGCGGGAACGCCGAAAACGCAUUUUUCCGGGUUCAGCUUAAUGUCGUAUGUUCAAAGAUUGGUGAACGUGAGCCUCAAGUCAUCUAUUAAAGAGUCGACGUGUCUGGUUUUAAUGACCACAUCGUCUACAUAUGCCUCCAUAGUCUUACCGAUCUACUUUUCCAGACAUGUUUGGAUCAUACGCUGAUAUGUUGCGCCGGCAUUUUUGAGCCCGAAGGGCAUUGUGUUAAAACAAAAGGGGCCGUAUGGCGUGAUAAAUGCCGUUGUGGCUUGAUCAGACUCCGCCAUCUUAAUCUGGUGGUAACCGGAGUAUGCAUCGAGGAAGCACAAUGAUUUGUGUCCUGCGGUAGCGUCGAUGAUUUGAUCAAUGCGAGGGAGUGGGAAGGGAUCCUUUGGGCAAGCCUUAUUAAGGUCUUUGAAGUCGACACAUAGGCGCCAGGAUUUGUCCUUCUUUGGUACCAUCACCAGGUUUGCUAGCCAGUCCGGAUGUUUUAUUUCUUUAAUAAAUCCGGCCUCCAGUAGCUUGGCUAGCUCCUCUCCCAUGGCUUGUCGCUUAGGUUUAGAGAAACGCCGAAGAGUCUGCUUGACCAGCUUGAAUCCUUUUAAAAUAUUAAGGCUAUGCUCGGCCAAUCUGCAUGGGAUUCCUGGCAUGUUUGAAGGAUGUCAGGCGAAUAUGUCCCAAUUCUCGCGUAGAAACUCCCGUAGUGCGGCGUCUACAGCGGGGUCUAACUACGCCCCGAUGGAUGCUGUUUUUGUGGUGUCCAUUGGAUGGACUUGGAAUUUUACUAUUUUGUCCGUUGGUUUAAAGGAGGUGGACUUGGAUCUUUUGUAUAGUAUCAUGUCGUCCCUGUCCACCGUGGAGCGCAGCGCGGUUAACUCCUCCGCCACAAGGGCUUCGGAUAAUGCCUCGAGGGCUAGUGCGACUGUUUUGUCUUCGCGCGGAGUGCUAUGUCCGGAUCACUAACUAGAGUGAUGAUUCCAUUGGGUCUGGGCAUUUUGAGCUUCAUGUACCCGUAAUGGGGUAUGGCUUGAAAAAUCGUGAAUGCCUCCCGCCCUAGAAGGGCGUGGUAUCUGCUACUGAACGGGGCCACUUGGAAUGUAAUUUCUUUGGACCUAUAAUUCUCUGGAGUGCCGAAUACCACAUCAAGUGUGAGUUUCCCAGCGCAACGUGCCUCCCGACUAGGGAUGAUUCCUCGGAAGGUCGUACUGCUUUGCUCAAUACGGUUGCUGUCUAUUUCCAUUUUUUGGAGAGUUUCCUCAUAAAUGAGGUUUAAUCCGCUGCCGCCGUCCAUGAGAACCUUAUUGAGCCGAAAGCCGUCCACAAUUGGACUGAGGCCCAAAGAGGCUGGUGUUCGGGCUGUUCAGAAUUUAGGUUCGUCACUGGCAUUGAAGGUGAUAGCCGUGUUGCUCCAUGGAUUUAUUGCUGCCACGUGGCAGACUUCGGCGAGGCUACGGAGUGCUCGCUUAUGCCUAUUAUUUGAGGCGAAGGUCUCGAAGACCAUUAAUACUGUAUUGUUAUCCGUGGGAAGGUGCUCUGAGGUAUUUUGGGUGAGGAGAUCCUCACCGCUUUUGGCCACCUGCCGGAGUACCCAACAUGCUCUAAGGCUGUGUGUUGAUAUGGUAUCCGCUGUACUAUGGAUUUUGCAGGGCCCGUUAAGCCAUCCCUCCAAUACGGUUCCACGCCGUGUAGUGGGCUUUUGCUUCUUUGUAAUUGAGUCGGGCGACUUAUGAGAGUGCACCCUUUUAGUUUGGACUGGGGGUUUUGUUAGAGCCGGAUUAUCCCAAAAUUAAGUUGGGGUUUUCCAGACACUUUCCAUCGCACAGUAUUUCCGUACUAUGGCUGCCAAGUCAGCGAAGUGUGCUAUGUCACGGUGACUUAUGGCGUUGAGGACUCCCUUGUCCGUGCAAUUGUUGCAAAAGAACAAAAUUGCGUCUUCCUCGCGAUAGUCCUUGACCUUGUUCAUUACAAGGAGGAAUCUGGCCCAAUAGUGAUGUACUGUCUCUUGGGGUGCUUGCCUGAUGUGGGAAAGAUCGUUUGUAUCUGGGUGGGUGGGUGGAUUUAAGUCCAGACCUUGACCCAAUCUGUGAUCCCGGGGUAGGGAGUUUCCGAUCUUGGAAGUUCGGGCUCCGGGAUGUUGCCCUGUGGGUUCGGUAUGCGGCCUAAUUAUGGAUUCAGGGUUAGGGCGGUGUCCUCCCGUGAGCGAGUAUCCUGUUCGGAGAGCUCGGAAAUCCGGACAUAGUUCGUCCUCAGGAUAGAGGGAGAAUCGCCGCAUUACUCCACCACCGCUAUCUGAUGGGUGACCGGCGGAGAGUUAAUCUCCCUUUGGUCGGUUUUAAUCCCGAUCCGAUCGUAGUCCGUAGUGACUCCCAGAGCGGCAAUGCGAUCCAAGAGCUCGUUCAAAGAGGAGAUCUCCAUUGGAUCCAUCUGCUCGGCAAAUUUCGAGCCGAUGUGGAGGCUAUUUUCGAUGACCCGAGAGGUCAUCAUCGGCGCUGCGGCCGAGCGGGCGGUCAUGACGAAGCUGCUUAGCCGGAGAGUUUGGCCUAUAGCCAGGGCUCCCCCAGAGGUGAUGUUGUCCUUGACAACGAGGCGAUCCAUCCUCCUUAUGAUGACGACACAGUGGAACUCUCAAUGAAAGCACCAAUGUCGGUGUCAAAACCGGCGGAUCUCGGGUAGGGGGUCCCGAACUGUGCAUCUAAGGCGGAUGGUAAGAGGAGGCGGGGGACACGAUGUUUACCCAGGUUUGGGCCCUCUUGAUGGAGGUAAUACCCUACGUCCUUGAUAUGAGUAUUACAAGAGUUGAUCUACCACGAGACCAAAGAGGCUAAACCCUGGAAGCUAGCCUAUGAUAUGAUUGUCUGUCGUCCUACAGACUAAACCCUCUGGUUUAUAUAGACACCGGAGGGGGCUAGGGUUACACAAGGUCGGUUACAAAGGAGGAGAUAUACAUAUCUGUAUUGCCUAUCUUGCCUUCCACGCCAAGUAGAGUCCCAUCUGGACACGGGACGAAGUAUUCAAUCUCGUAUCUUCAUAGUCCAACAGUCCGGCCAAAGGAUAUAGUCCGGCUGUCUGGAGACCCUGCAAUCCAGAAAUCCCUCAGGAACCCACUUGACCAAGGCCUUAGGAGCUUCUUCAAAUGAAUCAAUUUCCUCUUGAAGCUUGUCCUUGCCUUUCUCCUUGUCGUCUUGUGGUGGAAGAUCAUCUUGAGCUUGUGUCCCCUUGAAAGAAGUAGGAUCAUACUUCUCUUGUUGAGGAACAAACUUCGUCUUGGGGUAUUGAUCUUCUUCCCACUCAACUCCAUUAGCAUUGAACUUUCGUUCAAAACCAAUACCUUGAUUCUUCCGGUGCCUUCCUUGCUUGCGUACAAUUUCCUUGAAUUGCUUACUCCCGGCAAGGCUCUUGUAAACACCUUUCUCUAUGAUUCCCUUCAAUAAGCUAUUUUCUUGCUCAAGUGUAACUUGGCUAAGAGAAUCAUUGGUGGAAUCAAGAGAACUACUAGAAGCAACAAUAUUGGAUUUAGCAUGAUUAUUGUUACUACUGGAAGAAGAAUCCUUCUUGUUCUUGUUACUAGACUUGACUUGAGGCAUGUAAGUGGAUAAGAGUAAACGCUUGGCAAUGUAAGAAGAACUUUUCUUGCGAAGAUCAUCAUUGAUUGCCUUUAAGAACUCAUGCUCUUGCUCAAGAUUGAGCUUCUCAAAACGUAAUUUCUCAUGAGUCCUAAAAAGUUCUCGAUGAUCUCCUAAGAUAGUUUCAUGAGCUAACUUAAGAGUGUUUAGUUCUUUAGUUAGAGACUCAAUCUUCUCCUUAUCAUUGUCAUUCGUUUCAUCUUGAUUAGCAUGAUUAAUUGACGUUUCAUCAUAGUAUUCAUCACUAGAGUUGUCAAAAAGUAAAGCAUCAUCACCUAACAAGUCAUCUUCAUCACUAUUGAAAUCAACAUACUCGGGGUGUGAUACCUUAGGGCCUUUAGCCAUGAAGCAUCUUCCAAUUCCUUCAUUUGGUGAAUCAAAUAUGUCGUAGGAGUUGGUUGACACAAGUGCUAGACCGGCAACACCUUCAUCUUGAGUAUAUUCGGAGUCGGAGUGAUAGCUUCUCUCGGAGUGACUGUUGGAGUCGGAGCCGGAUACCCAUUCACCAACAUGAGCUUGAUGUCUUCGUUUUGUGUAGCUCCUUGAUGACUUGUCCUUCCUUUCCGAAUCCUUGCUUCUCCAGGAGGGUCUUUGUUCAUAACGAUCAUCCCUACUCCUUCUCUCCCUCGAUGGUGAUUCUUCUCUUCUACUUCUUCUUUUGGGAGAAUCUUCUCUUCUCUUGUGGGGAGCCGUACACUCAUUGGAGUAGUGUCCGAGUCUUCCACAAUUGUAGCAGUUUCGCUCUUGACUAGAAUAUCUUUUGUCAUUGUAGGACCUUGACUUGGUACUUCUCUCUUUGCUUCUAUUCUUGUAGAACUUGUUGAAGUUCUUCACCAUUAGGCUCAAUUCUUCAUUGAAGGUUUGUUUCUCACUUGAUGAUGUGGGAGCUUCACAUGAGGCUUUGUAAGCACCACUUGACUUGUUAUGGAGCUCCUCCUUAUCCUUGUGUGACAUCUCAUGAGCAACAAUUCAUCCAAUGACUUCCAUUGGCUUGAGAUCUUUGUAAUUUGGCAUCAUUUGGAUCAAUGUGCACACGGUGUCGUAUUUUCCAUCCAAGGCUCUUAGGAUCUUCUUGAUGAUGAAUUUGUCGGUCAUCUCUUCACUUCCUAAGCCGGCAAUCUCGUUUGUGAUAAGAGCAAGCCUAGAGUACAUUUCAGCGACACCUUCACCAUCCUUCAUUUUGAACUUGUCAAGUUGACUUUGAAGCACAUCCAACUUGGAUUCCUUGACGGAGUCGGUACCUUCAUGCAUAUCAAUCAAAGUAUCCCAAAUUUCCUUUGCAUUCUCAAGAUGGCUGAUUUUGUUGAAUUCUUCGGGGCACAAUCCGUUGAAGAGGAUAUCACAAGCUUGAGCAUUGUAUUGCAGAAUCUUCAACUCUUCCGCGGUAGCUUUAUGAUUUGGUUCUCUCCCAUCAAAGAAUUCACCUUGCAAGCCAACACACACAAUAGCCCAAACGGCGGGGUUAUGUCCAAGAAUAUGCAUUUUCAUCUUAUGCUUCCAACUAGCAAAAUUAGUACCAUCAAAGUAAGGACCUCUAUGGUGGUAAUUUCCCUCGCUAGACGCCAUACUCUCCUAGGUUGUGAAACCAAGGCUAUGACUUCCAAAAGCUAUGAAAAUCAAGGCAGAUGGAUACCAAAGCUCUGAUACCACUUGUAGGAUCGAAAAUAUGUCUAGAGGGGGGGUGAUUAGACUACUUGACCUAAUAAAAAUCUAGUCUUUUCCCCAUUUUAGUUCUUGGCAGAUUUUAGCAACUAUGGACAAGUCAAGCAAUCUUAACACAAUUCAAGCAAGCAUGCAAAGAGUAUAUGAGCAGCGGAAAGUAAAACAUGUAACUUGCAAGAAUGUAAAGGGAAGGGUUUGGAGGAUUCAAACGCAAUUGGAGACAUGGAUGUUUUUGUCGUGGUUCUGAUAGGUGGUGCUAUCGUACAUCCACAUUGAUGGAGACUUCAACCCACGAAGGGUAACGGUUGCACGAGUCCACGGAGGGCUCCACCCACGAAGGGUCCACGAAGAAGCAACCUUGUCUAUCCCACCAUGGUCAUCACCCACGAAGGACUUGCCUCACUAGCAGUAGAUCUUCAUGGAGUAGGCGAUCUCCUUGCCCUUACAAACUCCUUGGUUCAACUCCACAAUCUUGUCGGAGGCUCCCAAGUGACACCUAGCCAAUCUAGGAGACACCACUCUCCAAGACGUAACAAAUGGUGUGUUGAUGAGGAACUCCUUGCUCUUGUGCUUCAAAUGAUAGUCUCCCCAACAGUCAACUCUCUCUCAUAGGAUAUGGAUUUGGUGGAAACAAGAUUUGAGUGCAAAGCAACUUGGGGAAGGCUAGAGAUCAAGAUUCAUAUGGUAGGAAUGGAAUAUCUUGGUCUCAACACAAGUGUAGGUGGUUUUCUCUCAGAAAAUAUAGGUUGGAAGUGUAGGUUUGUUCUGAUGGCUCUCUCCACAAAUGAAGAGGAGGUGGAGGGGUAUAUAUAGCCUCCACGCAAAAUCUAACCGUUACACAUAACUUCCCAAACUCGGUGGGACCGAAUGGUUAAACUCGGUCUGACCGAUUUAGCAAAGCUAGUGACCGUUAGGGUUUUCGGUGGGACCGACAUGUAACUCGGUAGGAUCGAUAUGAUUAGGGUUAGGGCAUAACAUAAUCUCAGUGAGACCGAUUACACAAACUCAGUGAGACUGAUUUUGGUAAUAAGCUAACCAGAGAGUUGGUGAGGUAAACUCGGUGGGAUCGAUCGCUCAUUCCGGUGAGACCAAAACGUUACAAAGGGAGAACAGAGAGUUUACAUUGCAAUCUCGAUGGGACCGAUCGCUCAUCUCGGUGAGACUGAAAUGUUACAAAGGGAAACAGAGAGAUUACAACCCCAUCUCGGUGAGACUGAGAUCCCUAUCGGUGAGACCGAUUUGCCUAGGGUUUGUGGCAGUGGCUAGGACAUUUGAAACUCGGUGGCACUGGAUAGAAAGAAUUGGUGGGGCCGAGUUUAACUUUUGGUUUAGGUCAUAUGUUUAUAUGAUAAAGUAGUUGGGGGCUUUGGAGCAUAUCACUAAGCAUUUGAGCAACAACCUCAUUAAGCAACACCUCAUCCCUCCUUGAUAGUAUUGGCUUUUCCUAUAGACUCAAUGUGAUCUUGGAUCACUAAAAUAGAAAAUGUAGAGUCUUGAGCUUUGAGCUUGAGCCAAUCCUUUUUCCUUAGCAUUUUGAGGGGUCCACUUUUCUCAUCCAUGCCAUGCCAAUCAUUGAGCUUUCCUGAGAUAUUAAUCUUGAAAUAGCAUUAGCUCAAUGAGCUAUAUGUUGUUAGGAAUUACCAAAAGCACCUAGGGAUAGUUGCACUUUCAUAAUGCAAUAUUUUAAACAAGUUCAACUAACUUAAACCAUGUCACUGCAUUGCAAUCAUGCAAAUGGAGGGUGUGGCUUUCCUGGGGUGGAAGAAAUCACCGAGAAGAAGUGCGAGAAGCUCGCGGAAAGAAUCACCGGAAAACGUUCUCUCUCAAAGGGGGCUGAAUAAGGGCAGGGGCAAAAUGGUCAUUUUCAGAAUGCCAAAACAUGGUGAAAAUGAUUCCAUCAGAACGGGCUCGACAAAAUGAAGACGUGGGCUUUGGAAUCACCUGAUUUGGAGUUGGGAGUAAAAAGUUAUAAUUGUUUUUCUGCCAGGGACCUAUUUGUGAUAAAAUCAUCACAACCAGGCCCUCAGCCAGAAAACAAAACGUGCACUUUGCAAAAAUACACCUUCUCCUCAGGUAAACGUAUUCCGCACUGAAACAGUAAGUAAAUACGCUUUCAGAUUCGUGAAAGCGCGUUUUGGUCUAAAGAAGGACGAAGCUACGCUUUCGGAAGGCGAAGACGUAAUCAUGGGAUUACGCCUCCACUUAUCCACGUCAGCGUACCUGGGACCGCCCGUUGCUCACUUACACGCGGGCCCCGCGUUGACUUCCUUCUCCUCUCCUCUCCCUCCCGCACAUGCUGUCUUCUUCCUCGCGUGACCCUGACUAGAACAGGAAGUAGGGCGAGGCAGAGGGGGCCGGCCAGCUCCAGCCAGCUCCAGCCGAAUGGCGACCACCGGUGGGAGCGGGAGGACGUAGCCGGGGAGCUCACGGAGGGGUAGACGACGCCGGGGAGCAGAGGAAGAAGCCGAGCACCAUUAAAGCAUGUCGGGGCACUGUGCUCCCGUGGGCGAGCGUCGCCGAGCGUUGGUGAGGAAGCUACCAGAGGGCGAGAGGGGUCAAGGUGAACGGAGACGACAUGGGCUAUCUGCCAGACAUGCUCACGCACGCGAAGACGACGAGAGGAGGAGGGGGUCCAGCUCAAACAGCCACUGGACGCGGCCACUGCACUCAGAGCGCGUGCACAGGCACGCCAUUGUCGUGGUCACCGCAUGCACUAGCAUGUAGUAGGGGAGAGGGGCUGGAAUGGGUUGUCUAGAGUGUAGUCCAUCCAGUGGAGGUCUCAACAACGGUGGUAGAUCAGUGAAAAGUGAUAUGGUUAAAAGGUAAUCACCCUCUGAAGUUUACUGCACUAUACUUGUGUGAGAACUGCUGAGCAACAGGGAUUUGAUUGGGUCAAAUGGAGUUGUCUAUGAGGUUUAGGGUAAGAAAGACUUUCACCUUGGUAAUUUGGAGGAUAUUUGGAUCAAGAUUUAAUGUAGUUGCUUUGCAACUGAUCAAAAUGGUCCAGAAACUUGAUCAGGAAGGUGCACUCACAUGGUGAUGCCACAUGGGCUAAAAUUUGGCAAGGCUUAAUGAUUUUGGCCAGACAAAGCUGGUGUAAAAAUUUCAAACCAAUUGGUUUUACAAAAAGGUACUUCCUUCACAGCUAUUCCCUAUGUCCAGAAUCUUGCAAAACUUAUAGGGAAAUAUUGGCUUGAUGAAAUGGUUCCAAAUUUGGUGGAGAGAAGUUAUUUGGGUAGGAGAAUGCCCUGGUAAAAUUUCAGGCAAAAUGAAGCAAUAUAAAAUAUACAUGCUUCACAACCUGAAAAUAUUGACAGAAUCAAAGAUUUGAUGUUGUGCUCACAUAGAUGAUUGGGUGGGUCUGAAUUUUGGAGGAGAGCAAUUAUAUGAGCACAAGAAGAGGCAUGCAAAAUUUCAACUCAUUUGGAUAAACCUAGCUAGCACUCCUUCACAGCUACAGAAAAAUCACUUAGGAAGUUUGGCUAGGCAAAUAAAGUUGAAUUUUGGCACAGGGAAAUUAUUUGGACAUGAUAAGAUGUAAAAAAAGUUUGGGGUCAAAUGGGCAAAGAUAAAUAGCACUUGCUUCACAGUGUGCCAUUUAGGACGGAAUAGGAAAUGAAUUUAUUGAGCAUGAUGAGAAAUAUGGAAAAUGAAAUAUUUUGCCAUAUUUGAGGAAGAUAUGACCCAAACAAUUUAUAAGAAUUAUUUGGGCAUUUUUGGAUGGACAGAAAUAUAGGUUGCUUCACAACCUAGGGCAGAUAGGAUUAUUCCUUUAAUAGAAAAGGAAUAUUUCCUACAAAAAGGAAUUAGGGUUUGGUCAAGCAGUGGAGUGACAUGAUUUUGGAAAAGUUUUUAGGAUGUUGAGCCACUUGGGAGGGGAAAUGAGGAUGAUUUCCCAGGUGGCAAGGCCACAGAACCACUCCAAAAAGAAAAACAGAGCAAAAACCAAUAAAAUCAAAAUCAAAAGAAAAGGGCCAAAAUCCAGGUUGUUACAUACCAACUACCAACUCAGAUGUCUCCAUAGUAAUAUUCAUAGAGAUUACCACCAUAUCCUGGGAGCUGAACAUGAUCAUCUAGAAACAGUCGGUUCUGUGGAGCUUGCGGUCCAUAAGGACUCAGAUGUGGCCUCGGUCCAACAAACGGUGGUAGACGGGGCCCACGGGGAGGAGUGGUGCCUCCUACAUCACGCCAGUCCAUACGAUCCGGCAGACCAAACCGCACGGGGUACAAAUCCCUCAUCACUACAAAAAAAUACACUUCGUGAUGAUACGUGUUUGUCACAGUAGGUUGCAUUUUAUGUCAUGCAUGUACAUCCAUGACGAUUUCAUGACAGAAUCAAGAUAGUCAUACCUGUGUUGUCGUAGAAGUGUUCCAUGGCAUUACCAAAAUUAUCAUCACGGAAGUGUCCACUUCCAUGACGAUAAAUCCCGCGUCACAGAAGUUCUUUCGUCAAGGGUGACCGACACGUGGCAUCCACCGUAACGGGACGCCGUUAAGCUAUCGGGUCGGGUUUUGGAUCCGAUAACCCGUUAACAGCCCCGACCAAUGGGGAUUUUCCACGUGUAAAAUCAUCAUUGGCUGGAGGAAACACGUGUCGGCUCAUCGUUGGGACAGAUGUCAUCCACUCAUUGGAUAGAAGGUGCCUAUGAUACGUCGACACGUGGCACGGACCAACAGAGGCCCAUUCCUAUGAAAAGGCCGGCCCGUUUGACUUGGUCAAAAGGUGGCGGGCCAGCCCAUGUAAAGCCUGUUAACGGCCAGUUCGCAUAUAACCCUUUUAUAGCCCGCUAACCCAAGGCCCGUUACGCCCUAUCCGAAUUAGGCCCAGUAGCGUCAUCUGGGCCACCCAAUAUGAUUCCAGCCCGUUUUCACUUCUGGCCCAUGUAUGGCCCAUGACGUCUUUCGGCCCAUAUGAGGCCCUAUGUAACUCUUGGCCUAUUAACGACCCGUGGUGAAACUGGCCCGUAAUGAACACUGUAUCGCUUUACACCCAUUAACGGCCCGUGGUGAAACCGGCCCGUAAAGAAUAGUGUAUCACUUUAUACCCAUUAACGGGUUGUUAUUCCAUUGGGCCUUUUCUAGCCCAUGUUAUCUUUCGGCCUUCUCAGAGCCCAUUUAUUCUUGGGCUCAUUUCCAACAUUCGUUUACUUACGACCCAUUACUGUGAUUUUUUGCUUGUGGGCCAAAUUCAGCCCGUGGUUACAGUAAACCCGUUUGUGGUCCGUUAAUACUUUGGGCUAUUUUCAUAGCGUCAUCAAAUACGGCCUAUUAACGAUGGCCCAUUAUGGUUGGCCCAUGAACAGAUGAUUCCAACUCUAGCCCGUUUACGGCCAUAAUGCGACCUGUUAUUGGCCCAUGUUUGGCCAAUCGAUCAUACUGCCCGUAUAAGGCCCAUUGAUGAUACGGCCCGUAGAAGGCCCAUCAUUUCUACGGCCCAUAGAAGGCCCAUUGUUUCUACAGCCUGUAGAAGGCCCACUGUUUCUACAGCCCGUAGAAGGCCCACUGUUUCUACGGCCCGUAGGAGGCCCAGUGUCACUACAGUAAAUAUUAGCCCAUGGUUAUUGUGGCCUAGUUUUAAAAAAUAGGUUAUUGCAGCCACUAGCAAAACGCGGAAAAAGAACUGCAAUGACUACAAGCAAACAAAUAAACAAGACAACAAGGAAAUAAAUAAGCAAGCAACUUACGCUAGGCUAUCACGGCUAUCACACAUAUUACAUCCACCAGGCAUCAAAGUUCGCCACCAGUGCAAAAUAAACAUGCCGACAAAAGAAUAUACAAAACUGAGAGCACUUCAGAAGGCACUAGGCCUAGCCAGGUCGGGCCCCCCAAACAGCUCAAGAAGCUGAGUAGACCUCAGUUGUGUCAAUGAUAGAUGCAUCAACACUAGAUUUAAGGCAUGAUGGUGCGCAUGGCAGUCCUCUGACAUCUUCAUUGCAUCUUUGACUUCAAGUCGGAGUUGAGCUUAAGCAAGCCUUUCCGCUUUAAGUUUAGACUGAAGAAGUCGAACUGAUUGAGGCAGCGACUACACAAAGGUUGUCUCACACCUGCUGGUGAGUAGCUUCAACUCACCGUCUUCACCAAGACAGGACCUUGGGGUCAUCUCGCUAUCCUCAAGAUGGUUUGGCUCACUAUCUUCCCUAAAGUUCUGCUUGGCGUAAGAGAUACGAGUCUGAAAGAGAAACAAGGAGACACGUAACAGGUUUCACAAUUAUAUAAGCAAAUAAAUGGAUCUAUUCUGCAUAAGGAACAUGUUUUUACGACUACAAUUUGAAACUGGUAGUUGUUGCAAACAUCCAAUCAGAUGUAAACAAUAAAGCAAACAGCACUGGAGGAAAUGAUGCCUAUCCAAAUCUAUACUAGAACAAAGUUUGAAGGCUUGAGAAGGAUGAACUUACAUUACAUGUUAACACGGGCUGGAAAAAGCCCUUCUCCAUGUUGAUGGAAGGAUAAUUCAAUAAAUUCCCCAAAGAAAAUUCUUUAUAAGUGUUGCCAUUAUUCUACAUUUUGCAAAGAGUAAAUAUAGAUCAAAUAAUAUUGGAAGAAACAGAGGAUAAUGAAGCUCAGGUGCAGACUGAUGAUACAUAAUCAAAUAGCAAUUAAUUAAGUACAGCGUUACAAGGCAAAAGGGAGAGAGGUACUGACAAGAGAAAUGCAGAGCCCAUUAUUGUUUUGAGAUCUUAUGAUCCUUUGAGCAAGGAGAUUCAUCUGAAAUUAGUUUUCAUACAAGAGAGUAGGUAAGGCACAAGCAAAAAUUUAGGAGUUCAAAUUUUGAAUUGAUAUCAUAGACAGUACCUGACGCUGGGCUCCUAGCAGUUCUAAUAGUGGUUUGGCCACUGGAGUAGGGGUAAAGUGUGGUACAGUUGGGCCUGUGUUUUCUGUAGCUGCUGAUCUAUCUGAUUUAAUAGGUAUCACUACCUUUUCCAAAUACCUAUUUUGUACUCCUUGAGGAUUUGCACUCACCCUCUUCCUUUUGGACAUCUAUUUCAAAAGAACAACAUUUGACUGGAAAAACAUAGUGUGACGACACAUGGAAUAGGUACAGAAAAUGGAUAGGUAUGGCAUAUACUCAUAUAUGAUGCUUAAACUAAGCAAAUGGUGUAACAAAGUAGAAGUAAUGCAAGAGGUCAGAUGCAACAUAUGUGCGACCAAUACAACUUUGCAAAGUUAGAGCAAGCACCUUGAUGGGUGAAUAAGAUAGGCCAUCCUCCACCAUGCCAAGUUUGUUAGCCAGUGGAUCGUUCCGCAAUAUUCCUCUCGUGCGCCCAUUCUCAUAUUCAUUUUGAUAAUGUUCAAUAUCUGACAUGCAUGAAAACAUAAAAACAAGUGAGAUUUUCUUUGUAAUGCAGAAGUGAUUCUAAUCCAAUACUGCCUCCCUGUAAACCCCUUUGUGCUAUCUCUGCAAUUCUUUUAAAAGAUGACAUGCAUGCUGUAAUUUGUUGUGUGCAUUAAUAUAAUGUAGCCUACUACUCAAAAUAUGAGAGCUCCAGAAGUGAUGACACUUCACAGAUGAUAGCUUCAACAUAUAGUAAAGAAGAACAAGUCGACCUGACCUGACAGAUUCAAAAUAUACUAAGGGAGAACAACUCGACCUGACCAGUCGACCGCAAGAGAAGAGUAUCAUCUUAAAGAAGAGAAGAAGAGCAAGUAGAUUGAAGAUAUUACAAGUCUUUCAAUACAAUGUCGGUUGGCCACCCAUGAUGAACCAGAGCGCACAGAGAAAUACUAUUCUUUCCGGUCUCUCCAUAUAUGGCUCACAUGCAUUUCGAAACUAAAGUAGGAACAUUUAGCUAACCAAUUAAACAUCUCUCAGUUUUACUAAUAUCAGCAAUAUUAUCAUAUAUGAAUUUGUACAACUAAGCUUGUUUAGCUCGAUGGGUGGAGCAGUGCUAUUACGACAUGAACCACAUAGGCUGAUUAUGGUCAUCAUAAAAUGGGGAAAACAUAAGCAUGAUGAGUACAGUGUUGACCGUGGCAGUGGGAUGGCAGAUCUGAAGCUGCAAACCGUGCAAAGGGUAGUUAGUAACCGAUGCUUGCUUUGAAAUAACAACUAAGAUUUGGUAUGGAGAAUAAAGUACGAUCAACAAGUGACAAAGAAAUGCAAUUAUGCUGUCUCUCUAUAUGUCGCGACACGCAUUUGGAAACUCAAGUGGGACCUUUAGCUAACCAAUUAAAUGUGUCGGUUAACUAAUAUCAGUAUCAUAUCACAAUCAUAUUUGAACAACUAAGCUUUUGAAUUCCGAGUGUUGUGUUGUUUAGCUUGAAGGGUGGAGUAAUGCUAGUACGACAGAAAGCACCUACGCAGAUCACAGUAGAGUAGAUAAAAGGGGAAAACCCUAAGCAUCAAGAGAAAAAUCAGGAAAGUAACUAGCUGGACCAGUGGGUGGCGCACAUGCUUUUCGAAACGAAUAUAGGAACAUUAGGUGACCAAUUAAACAUUCUCUGUUUUAGUGAUAUGAGCAUCAAAUCAGAUUCGUAUUUAAACACGUAAGCUUUGGGUUGACGUCUUGAGGAGCAGUGCUAGCAUGACACGAAGAACCUACGAUGAUGGUAGUGAAUAUAAAGGGGGGAAACCAUAAGCUUUACGAGUGUAGUGACCGUGCCAUGGCAGAUCCGAAGGUGCAAACCGGACAAAGCUACUUCGCAACCAAUGUUUACUUUCAACUAGCCACUACGAUUUGGUACGGACAAGAAAAGUACAGUAAACAAAUUACGAUCUAUUUUCCGGGUGAGAUCGAUAACUUAAGCACAUAUGGAAGAGUACCACCUCUCUUGCGACGCCGUGUAGGCCUAUGCUGAUACGUUGAGGGUGCUGCGGGUGCGAUGGCUGUCAGCGGCGAGGAAGAAGACUUUAGACGGCAGACGGUCUGGUCGGGGGAUAUAUCCUGUUGCCGUCGACGAGGCGGUCGUAGGAGCAGCAACGGCAAGGUGGACGACGACGCCGAUGAAGCGAGAGGAGGCGAUGAAAGGAUCCUGGUCCAGCGUCGUGGAUGAGAGACGUUCAUCUCUUGCAGUGGACGACGGGGUAGGGGUAGCUUCUCCGGCAAGGUGGAGGAUGGGGUGGAGGACGGAGGAGGUUGGCCGCAGUGCGGAGGUUGUCGUGUCGCCGACGGUGUAUGAAUGGGGAAAUGGAGGGGAGUGGGGAUCUCAAACUUUGGGACGCGCUUCUCUAAAAUGGGGGAGAAUUACCCGUUUAAAAUUUCGGACAUCGCGUCGGUUGGGGAUAGGACGGUGAUCUCGCAUCUCCGAAUAUUUGCCGAUAACUAUUUCGGGCGAGGAGAGGGUGUUUUGCCGCCCACGGUUGGUGCCCACGAUGUAUGAACGGGGUUGAAAGGUAGGGCGGUUGUGUCACGUCUGAUGGAAGUUACACAUCUGCCCCUAUUUAAAAUAUUAGCCUACAUCGAUUUCGGACGAGGAGAGUUUGUUUUGCUGCCCACCAUGUAUGAAUGGGGAAAUGGAGGAAGAGACACAUGUCUUUCGGACGAGCUUGAGUCAAAUGUGUUUUGGCGCCCAUGUUUGGCGCCCGCCGUGUCUGAAUGGGCUCAGAGGCCGUCGUGUCACGUCUGAUUGAAGUUACUAGUCUACCCCUAUCGACAACAGUGUAAAUCCGGUCGAUAAGGAUGUCAAGUGUCAGGGGUAGACAGUAAUUUCUAUCUCACAAACACUUGCUUCGGGCAGCCCACAAAUUAUAGUGGGUGUUUAGCUGCUUGGUUCAAAACUUGGGAGAAUUAGCAUUCACGUUUGCCCUGGGACCUGGCAAACUAAAUUCAAAUCCAAUUUGUAUUCGAUUACGAAUAUCCACAGAUAAUUAUAUGUUUUGUUAUUUAUUUCUUCAAAACCACAACAAAGAUUUAUUCCACCUUUAUAUAUGAUUAUGAUUUAGAAAUGUCAUGAUCUUCGAAUUCAGUAGGUUGGAUACACUCCGAGUCAAACAGUUAUUUCAUCCAAUACAAUAUGCUCACACGAAAAACAGUUCACCUUAUGUCAAUCAUACAAGUACCGAGGAUUACCUCGCCUAAAAAAUUCGGAUCAUUACAACACAUGGACAACAUAGGGGGUCUUGCAACAUAAUCCAUUCAGAGACAUGACACAACAUGCAAGUACAAUAAUCUAAUGACAAUUUCAACUCGUAUCUAAAGAAGAACCGGGAUUACCUUGGGCUUUAGAAAGCAGAAACAGCAGGACCUCCUCCAUCUUCAAAUGCAACAUUCUUACUUCCUCCAAUUCUUGGGUUGCUUGCAUAAUGCGUGCCGCUAAUUCUGUAAUUUCCAACCUCAAGAUAAAGAUUACCUCAUUCAUGGCAGCCACACCAUCUCUUUCUGCCUCUAGUAGAGCCUCAAGCACUAUAAUAUUUGUGCUCAAACUGCUCUCCGGCGGUGUUGCCGCUGAACUUCUACCAUCUGGUAACAUGGAUGGCGCACUGCUUCCACAAAUAGAUUCUAGGGUUGUACAUUGUGUCCUAGUGUUAACGGCAUCCUGAAAGGUUUCCGCUGGACAUCAGUAAGAGAUAGUUAUCGUAUGAUCCAGGCAGUAAGCUUACAUGGUAAACAACGGACGAAUUAUUGCUGAGCAUGGCAAACUAUAUUUAAAUGGCUCGAAGCAGCAUCAGCCGAAAAGAAUUAAAAUGGUAAGAUGAAACUAGGGAUGUGAGUGGCAAAUAAACAACAUCCACCAGUCCCAUCUAGUUAGUUUUUGCUACCUCCCUAGUUCAUUUUCCUCAAAAAACAAAAACUCUUUUGAACUAUCAUACCACUAGUGGACUUUAAUCAGGAUUAAACGGGACCUAGUUGACAUCCCUAGUUGAAAGGGAGUGUACAACCGCUAUAUUGAAGUUGCAAGGCAUCUAAGCAAUUGAAAUAAUCCGAGAAAGCACUUAACAGUGUGGCCUCAUAUAAACUACGAAGACAGUCUUGUGAUGAAGUUGAGAGGAAAAGUUAAGGACUCAAAUGAAAUAGGCAUGCAUUUCUUUACGAUAGUACAGCGGGCACUGCUGACAUAUUGGCCAACUCAAGUAUAGCGUAACAACAAAUAAGCAUUUGAAUCAAGCAAUACAGCAAAGUAGACAACUGAACUAUUUGUAAUUCGGUAGGAUUAAACGUUGAGGGCACAAGCCAAGAAAGCAGCCCACUCGCAUUACAUUUCACAUGUACUAAAACACACUGGCUUACCAUAUGUUGCUGUGAAGCCUAGCUGUUGUUGCAAUGUUCUUUGAAGAUAUCGUCAGCAUCCCGUGGUUGCAAAUCUAGUUGUUGUAGUUUAUUCUGCACCAUCUAUUUAGGUAAAACUAAUUUUAAUCGCAUGCACUAGUCAAAAUUGAUCAUCAAUGGUUCAUCUAAACUAAUGAAAGAAGGGUGUGUGCAUACACGACAAUAUAUCUGCUUCCCUCUAUUUUUAUGCUUGUUCGAGGUGCCAGCCCCAAAAGAACAAAUAUUUUGCUUGAUGGGGUUGGCAGCUCCAUAAUUAAUAGAAGCAUCAAAUUAGUCAUGCAACUUGGGAAGAUCAAGAACACACAAACAAGUAAUGAACAGAGGCACGGAGCAAUGAUGUAAUAGCUAGCAUCAAAAAAUGUAGGGUAAAACGAACAAAAAGCAGUGGAACCACAUGCUAGUUUGCUGAUGUGUAAUUAAGCAUAGAGAAUAUUAAGCAGUCUGAUGGAACCAACAGGUGGCAUCAGAAUAAAACUAAAGCAUAUUAACUAUAUGUGCACUGGUAUGUAAUUUAGCACAUGUAACAUGUUCACUGCUAGAAGUAUGGCCCUACAGGUGCAAGCAGAAUAAUGCGUCUCAUGAAAAACUGAAUGAUGCCCUAAAGAAAUUCAAAGGUGCGGUGCUUAUGCUAGGAAAGUGAACGUAGGCGCUGGCCGUUGGAUAAUAGUACCUGAUUCUCGACGGCGUAUGGAUAUUGUUGUCAUACUUGAUAGCUAAGGAUCGUCGAUGGUGCUCGUGUUGCGGUUGAGUUUGGGCCGGCUGUCGCCAUCGCUGAAGCGGCUCCGGUGCUACGGUUGCGGCGCCUGUCGACAUACAAGAAAGCUCAUCUGUGGUAAGUGAAUAGUUGCACGAUAAAGAGAAAAACCGAAGGAGUAAAAAUUGAAAUAACCUGAUGAGGCUGCGGCGUCGGUAAAGCAGGGCCAUGGAGUUGAAUAUGGCGUCCGUGUAGUGGACGAAGGCUUCGGCGGGCGCGUUGUACAGUGCUUUCGGUGAGGCGGAUCUGUUGUGGCGGAUGAGGGCUUGUAUGAAGGGCCAGCGAAGGGGCGGACGGGGGAGUCAGUGAAGGGCCUAUGCUAUGGUGUACGAGGGCGCUGGUUAAGCAGAUCCGGUGCGGUGGACCAUGAUGGCGGUCAAGGAGAUCUGGAGCGGUGGACAAGCCAGUCGCUGAAGCGGCUCCGGUGAAGUGGUGAGUUGGCAGUUGGGGGUUCCAAGGUGCGGAAGGUAGAUCCGGCGGGGUGUGAGGUCCACCGCUGCGGCGGAGGACUAGAUUCGGCGGCUUGUCGUGGUUGUGGGGGUCGGGGAGGGGAAGGGGAGGGGCUCUGGGGAAGAAUGUUGGGGGCAAAGAGGGGAAAACAAUGGAGUUACCAAAGCAGCCCUUUUCCGUUCAUGUGGCAGGGGUAAAACAGGAAUAUCGCAGGGCCAAAAUUUUGGGCGCGUGAUAUUUCGAUGUGAGCGGGAAGUUUAAAAGCUUUUGGCACCUAAAAUUAUAAGUAUUCUGCUCUCGUACGGCCGACUAUGAUAUCAUGGCCGACAAUUUGUUUGUUUUGCACGCAAAAAAAUGUGCAAGUUUUGAAAAUCAAUGUCUCCAACUCGAAACUUACAUUGUCCAUUCAAUUCAAAUAUGGAUAAUUGAGCUACUACAAGCAAAUACCAUCAUACGGCCAAUUCAAAUGAAAUUCCAAAUGUGUCUAUCCUAAAUAUGAUGACAAAAGCAAAAAUGUGUAUGUGUAUGAAUAAAGUGGAUGAUUAUAAAGUUUGAACAUGCCCAUAUGUGUACAUCUCUAGGUUUGAUAUAUGAAUUUGAAAUCAUGAAAUCCCGCCUUAAAAAAUGUACCUCAGUUUAAAUGAAUUACAAAAGCUAAUGAUGGAGUCGAAUUCCAAAAUUCCAAUCUUAGGUUUGUAAUUCUGGUACAUCAAGGUAUACCACGCUUGUUCAAAAGUAUCGUUAUCUCAUAGUACAAACUGUGAAACAAAUUGAUCAACCAUGAGUGCACAAUUUCUCAAUUACGCUAAAGUCCCUCAAAUAUAGACACCUCACUCUUUAUCUGAAGUCACCCCCACCACCACCACACACACACAUAGAGAAGUCGUUCUCUCCCCCAAACACCAACACACGAGCACAUUAACACCCCUCUCUCUUGUAAAGUCCGGACCCCAACAUAGGUCUCUAUCACUUUGUCUCUCGGGCAUGCACACAUCUCUUCCCUCACUCUCUAGGUCUCCCGCUAUCUCUCUUACCCAAUCACACACACUAUGUAGAGUGUAUAUUUCCCAUACACACAAAACAUCGCCCCCAAACGUCUACCUCCCUAGUUAUGUGGUUCUCGCGCACUCACCUCACACACCACCCCCACUGCAAACAAGCACACUUUGUCUCCUUGUGCACCACUCUCCUGUUUCUAUCUCUCCCACAUGCGGACCCGCCCCAGCUCCUUCCCUGUAUACAUAUAUGUCGUGACUCUUUGCAUAGCUCCCUAAUGUAUAAUCAUUCUCGAUUUCGCACAUUGUUCUCUACACCAUCUAUUCUAGAUCUCUCAUGAAGUCCCUAUCACACACACGAUGACUCGCUUCCCUUGCAUCUCCGUUCAUAGGCCAAUUUCGGACAACAUCAACAUUGUCUACCUAUCUAUACGCCAUUUAUGGACACAAACGACCCCUCUCGCCCCCUCUCUUCCUCUCUCUCUCUCCGUCGCUAGCUCUCUCUUUCUCUCGCUCUCACACCCCUCUCCCACACACACACUCGAUGUCUCUUCCAAAUAAUCUGCUCCCCCCCCGCCCGCACCUGUGCUAUCUCGCUACUACACAUGUCACACCAUUCCCCCUUCCCUUAUACUAGGUGUACAUCAUCAGUGGUCUCUCUACUCCACAUACACUCUCUCCCUCUCACACACAAACGCGUGCACAAACACACACAGACACGCACAACCACCCAUUUAUCUGGAUACUCAUCUCUCCUCAUGUCCGCAUGUGUAUCUCAGACACUCACUAUCUAAUUAUGUAUAUGUGUCUCCACGUUACACAACACAAAGCCCCAUGUACAUGUCUCUCUAUCCUCCACACACAUAGACACAAAGAAUCUGUUAUCAUUGCCUCAGUCUCUAACAUAUCACACACGCACAUUGUCUCUCUCUCUCGCAAACACGCUCAACAAGGGUUUCCCCGUGAAUAACUUACCAUCUAUUCAUAAACAGUCAUGGCAGUACGGCGAACACGAGAUGUGAAAAAGAAUAAAUCUACACGUGCUUAGACCACCUAGUAUGACUACUAGGACUAGAGCAAGCCAAAAAGCACGCUGCCGUCACCCCCUCCUUGUCGGCGACGGGAAAAUCUUUGUUUUACACAAUCGAGAAGUCAUUGUGCUAAGGCCCCACAUGCCGAGGCGUUGAAUAGAAUGUAGAUGCUAGUUUACAGAAGCAAGUAUUGAUAAUACGUUUGUAUCUCCAUACUUAUAUUUCUUGUCUUAUAAAAAACCGAGUUGGUGAUGAUGGUACGUGUGCCAUCUUGCAAUAUAGACCGUCCGAUCUAUAUCUGACGGAUGGAAAUUAAACUAAAAGAUACCUUCACCCCUCUCCACAUUUGCAGACAAGGCCUUCCCUCGUUCAUCCUUAUCUCCAACAAACCUCAUUGUUGAGCAAUUAAGAAAGGAAGCCUCUGGAACAAACUGGCCUGGUGGCCGCUGCCGGCGUCAUCAAUCCCCAUGCCUCUGCUCAGUCCGACCACCAACCACCACCACACCCCACUCCUCUUCACCUUAUCUCAUAUUUCUCGAGAUAUCAUUAGUUUUUACACAUGGGAUUACUCCCGCAAGGGUCAAUCACAACAAGUGUUUUAUAAAAAAAUGCAUCUUGAUGUUCCGUGCAAUGCACGGAUCUUGCUAGUACUCCUACACAAGACUAAGUUGGUGAUGCUGGUGUGUCUGCCAUCCAUCAUUUCUGACCAUUAGAUCUACAUCUAAUGAUUGUGAGGUAAGUUGUUGCCUUUUCUCACCAACAUCCCACUUGUCUACCAAUUUGCAGAAAAACCCAUAAUUAGUAUCUUAAAACCAACCACAUCCCUCCCUGACCUCACCAAAACAGCCCAAGGAAUAUAUUCUAAUUGAAACAUAAUAUAUCUCUAGUGACAUAUGUAUAUCAAAAUUAGAGUGUUUUGUACCAAGUUUGUGAAUAAGUAUUAUUCUAAUUAUGAUUCGUUGCAACGGACAUGAACAUUGCUAGUAUUUCCAACCAUGCAUUUUUCCUAGUAUUCCAUAGUUUCGAGUUUUCCAUCAAGAUAUUAGUCACUCAUGGUUGAUAUUUACUUUCAAUCAUGUACACAUAUGCACUAUGUAACUAGCCUUGCUUAUUGGCUUCCAAAGCUUAACUUUCACUCCUACUUACAAUAUGUGGAGUAUUUAACAAAAAACUACCACUUUCAACCAGCCCUAGGAAGAAUCUAUUAUACAAAAAAUAGCAAAAACAUACCCAAAAUUUCUUAAUCCACGCCAAAAACUACCUAGUACUCCUACCGAUUAUGUUCGUUUAAACCCAUUUAUGAUAGGGUUGGCCCACACGUCCGUGCUGACGAGGCAGCUUAAACCAACACAUUUUGUUUGACCGUUGACACGAGGGACCCACAUCUGACCUUCUAUCCUGUUAUUCCCCCUCAAAUCACUAUUUUUCCUGAACAUUACUUCAAACAAUACUGAUGCGUGUUUGUGGGUGGUGCCAUGAUGAGUGAGUUGGCCGCCGCUCCGCCGGACGGGCCGGACGUCGCGCUGGCCUCCGCACGGGUUGGCAGGCUGGCCCGAGCGUGACUCACGAGCAAGCAAGCCGCCGUGCUGGCCUUCGCUCGAGCCAGAUGGCUGGCCUUAGCGCGGCGCGCGUGAGCAAGCCGCCGUGCUGCUGUGGCAAUCUAGCUAGCAAACCUUGCAGACAAGCAGCUGGACGGAGCUAUCUUGGCUGGCUAGCGGCUGCGAGCGCCGGACGGAGCUGGCAUCCGGGCUGCCGCAACAUGGGCUCCGCACCGCCAGCGGUUUUGACCUCGCCUUCUGCCGGCAGCGGUAGCUGCGUCCCAUGGUCGAGGAUGACUAGGUGGACGGGCCGGAGGUAGGAGGUCACUCGAGGAUUUUUGUUGGUAAGAGCAUGUACAAUGGUUGAUAAGGUACUCUUAUCUUAAGUCUGCCACGUAUGCAAAUGGUAGUAGUUUCUUGGCAUUUUAGUGAUUUCUUGCAUUAUUAGAGCAAGUACAAUAGAGUUGAGUCAGCAGGCUAUAAGAAAUAAACUAGUAUAUUUCUGCUUAGUUGGAGGAAAGAGAAGAGGAGAGAGAAGGUAAGUGGGCUCUUCGUGAAGAGCCAGCUCUAGCACGUGCUCCUAGGCACUUUUUGAGAAUGAGAAGUGGGCCACAUAAUAAAAAAGUAGUACACUCUUUUGAUCUAUUAUUGUACAUGUUGGCUAUAAGAUGGGUUGUAGAUGACAUGGCACUGGCUUAUAGCCAGCAGCUGGCUAUACUAUUAACCAUGCUCUUAGGGGUUUCUUGUAAGGAACAAUGUACGUACUACUAGCGACAAAAGGCGAUUCUAGGUUGCAUUGUACUCCAACGAGUACUACUAGUGGUCGCAGGAGUGUAUACCUCGUUUUGUGGGUUCGAUCCCGGUCGAACGCAUGGCGGCCUUUUAAAAAAAUAGUACUACUACACUUCGCUGCGAGCCAAUAUUUUACACGGGUAGUUUGAGUUUUGAAGUCAAACGGACGUGCGGCCCCACAAUCUGGGUGCACUGGACAUCCUAGCCACGUGAACGAGUUUUCCUUCCCAGCAUCCUGUGGCUCGCGUGCUCGCCCUAGCCUCACCUCGCUUGCAGCUUCCUCAUCAGCUAGUAGCAUAUUUAAACUAGCGCCUCCCAAUUAAGCCCGAGGAGCCGGAAAAGCCUGGCGGGGCAUUGGGAACUGUGCAAUAUGGCUCUGUACGUAAAGUGCUCUACUACUACUCUAUAGCUUGUGGAGUUGCACGCAUGGACUUCACUCCAUUAUCGGCUCUACUAUAAAAGAAAUUCCUCUUGACGUGUUUUUUUAAACGGAGGAAAAAGCUUUGCUUCAUCUCAUUCAUAAAGAAGGAACUACUAACAAAGUUCGACGAGAUCCAUUACACCUCCACAAAUGGAAGCGAAAAGCCUAGUCUCGCUGUAUCAAAUAACUCAAAUGUUCUGCCCCCGCAGUAACCGUCGCUGAUAAACAAGCUGCUAGUGUGUGCGUGAGAGGAGCGGCUAAGUAGGCCAGCUACGUGAGAGGAGCGGCUGAAUAGAGCACUGAGAGUACCCACUAGGCCACUACGCAGGUGUACUUCCCCUACAUUGAUAGUACAACGAUGGUUCUAGAGAACAGUAGUACCCUCCACUUCCAACUGUAGCUCCUUGGCCCUGAGAUUCAAGAGUUCAAAACCGGUGCACUAUACUAGACUAGACUAGAAGUACAGUACAACGCACUACUAGUUGAGAAAAGUAGUACUAGUACUGCUACAGUAUGAGUACGUACUCCUCCGUCACAUAAUGUAAGACGGUUUUUGACACUAGUUGGCGUGUACAAAAAAUGGCAAAAACAUACCCAAAAUUUCUUAAUCCACGCCAAAAACUACUACCUAGUGCCAAAAAUUUCUUACUAGUGCUAUUAUUUACUGUAUAAUGCAAUCCCAUAACGUUCCAUAAUGCUAGUACUCCCUCUGUCCAGGUGCAUAAGGCACCUAAGAGAAUUUAGGAUUUUCAAGUAUAUUAGUCGCCCUUCAUUAGUUAGCACUAAUGACUUGUAUGCCUACCCCAAUGCACUUAGCGUUUUCAGCUUCACAUUUAUCUCCCUUCCAUAUGCAAACCAAUCAGCCGCCUCUACCAUUUACUUUUUAUUUGCAUGCAUGCAAGCUGGACCUAGAGAAUUGUGCGAAACAAUCUGUUAGCCUAUGCAUGGUUAGUCCUACCAUCAUUACACUUAAUGCGGGAUUAACUAGAGGGAGAGAAAAAUGUGAUGAGCGUUCAAUCAACAUAUGCCUAGUUCACGGUGCCAUUUCUUAGGUGCCCUAUGCACCUGGACGGAGGGAGUACUAGUAGUAAAUAAUAGCCUCACCCUUCGCUGAGGAACGAUCUACAGUUGGAAGGGACGAGGCCCUGCGGUUACUACACUCUUAUCUCCUCCUCGCCAGUUCCCCUCCCCCCGAAGAGAAGGUAGUUCGUCGCUUCUCCCAUGGAUUCUCCAGGCAGUUCUCCUCCUUGUCGGGGCUGGGAGACCUUGGACGACGAUCCUGUGGGAGAAAUCGCACGCCGCUCCGAUGUCCUCACCGCCGCAAGACUUGGUGCUUCCUGCACCAACUUUUUCAAGACACUACUUAAACAGGCCAUGCUUGUUGGUCUUCCAUGCAUCCUCGAGGAGAAGGUUCUUCUAUGGGACAAUCCUUCGAAAAGUCCACCGCUCCCUGGCCAUGGUUGCACGUUGACUCCUCUAGAGUUGCCGACGUUGAGAGGUAGUCGGAUUUUGUCCGAUGAGCAGGUCAGUAAUGGAGUUUGAUCAUGUAGUACUUAGUUAUUCCAUUUCCAUCCCGUAAUUUCUCCGCUGCCCACCAUCUUAUAUAUAGGUCUGGGUCGGUGCCAAUGAAGAUUGGCUUGCAUACCUCCGGCCGGAUACCACCAUCAUUUUGCACAACAUCCAUAGCAGUGCGGCCGUUCUAGUAGACCCCUUCUCCACCAUUGGGAUCGGCCUUCCGGACUGGUUGGCCUUGAAUACGUAUGAUGAUGCCUACAUGAGAUUGAAGAAGAUAGCAAUUGCGGACCCGCUGACAAAGCGACACGGCUACGACAAUUACUAUGUCAUCGCGGUGUUCGACAUAUGGAUUGCCAUCAAUGCAAGAGGCAGUAACGGCAGAGGCUGGCGCAUGUUGGCGGUGAUAGAUUUGUACCCCUACACGUUCGAAGACGCCGUGUGCCAUCUAGGCUGCAUCUUUGCGGUGACAAGCCAGGGGACUUAUUUCAUCUGGUUGCCAUCCUACGGUAUGGGAGAUUACAAAUGGAAUGCACAAACCAUCAUUUGCAUCCCUAACGGCACUCCAUUAUUUUGCAGGGACUAGUCAUCCCCCGAUCAAAAUAAGAUCGCCGAUCCUGGAUGUGCAUUUGCAUCCGCGAUUUGGUCUAACCUGGAACCUUGUAGCUGACUUUGGCAUAUUGGGAUCAACUAUCUUAGCGGUCGUUACCCAUGGUACCACUAAUGUGCAACAUGGUCACACAAUCUACCACGAUCGGACCAUCACCAUCUACCCAGGUAUUCCAUUUUUAACCCUCUCGCCUUCUCUUUCAUUGUUGUACUAGUAGUAUACUUUGUAGUACUAGUAGGAGUACGUUUUACCUUGGAGGACGCGUAUAGAUAGCUAGGCCCUUGAAGACUUUAACCCACUAGCUGCCACCAUUUUUUUCAUGUCUUACUAUCUCAUCCAUGUAGCCAAGAGUGGCUAUAUAUAAUAAGCCGGUUAUUUUACUUCCUCUAUAUCGGAGUAGUACUAUUUGCUGCACAGUAUUACUGACCUCCAUAUUUGAGCACAACAUUAUUAUGCAUGGACCUUGACUAUGUACAUCACCAUGUGUCCAGAUCUGGGAUGCCGUGUGUACCAGAUGAACGGCGCCGAGUUCGACCCCCGUGGUGCUACGUGAGUGCCGAGGAACACUCUUGGAGAGUACUCGCUUUUCAUCGGGGACAGCUACCCCAUUGUGAAGUAGAUGCCACCUUCCGUGCACGACACGGAAGGCCUGCCGUUCAUGAAGCAUGGUUGUGUCUUUAGUGCGCACCGCCGGAUGAACGACAUGCUGGGACACGCUAUCCCUGAUUUAUGCCGCUUCAGCUUGGAUGAGUCUCCAUCAUGUGGAACCGGACUAGAAAGCUGCGACAAUGAUUCCCGUUGCCCACUACUAUGGAUCAUGCCAUCCAUGAAGAACACCAGGGACUGGAACCUAGAGGAGGACAUGUAGCCCAUCUAUAACGUGUAAGUGGAGUAUGGUAAUUGUGAACGGUAGCGCUGUGAAUAUAUGUAGACUAGUCGUGCACAAAUUUAUCACAUGAAUUGGAGAUGAACUUGUGUGGCCUACUGGCAUUUGUCCUUUAGAAUUUAUUACUAGUAAAUGUGUUAUGUGUACGUGCAACUUGUGUGGUUGUUGCACGGGCUCCAACACACUCUUUGAGAAAAAAAGUGGCAUAGCUUUGGAUAUACGUGACGUGGCGGCAUCAUACAGUAGCAUCGUUCGCUAUAGUUGUAGUACACUCCUACUAGGACGACAACUCCUAUAAACCUUGCGCUUGGCUCUUUGCCUCUUCGAGAGGUUCAACAGUUUGUACUCGUGUGAACCUUGCACUUGGCUCUUCGCCUCUUCGGAAGGUCCAACAAUGAUGAUACUACAGUACAAUAUGCUUCUGGCAAUCUGACACCGAUUGAACUGCUGCACGUCCACCGCGAGGGCGAGAGCGAGGGCGAGGGAGAGGGAGAGGGAGAGGGAGAGGGAGAGGGCACUGUAGUCAAAACCCUCUCCUCGUCCUGCGAACCACCGCGCGCGUGGGCGAGGGAGAGGCGUAGUAAGCAAGCUUCUCCUCGUUCGGUGAUUUGAUGGGACACAUCAAAGCAAUACUAGUACUAGUAGUAGUAGUCCAUACUGCGUCCUUUCCGAUUAAUAUGGCUUAAUUUUAAACGAAAAAAUACACUGGCGGUCAACGUAUGUAACAAUACGCUCUUUACGGUCACUAUAUAUAGUUUUGCAGCGAUUAUACGAUCACUAGCUCAUCGUAGAGCACCGUAUUGCACCCUACUGACCGGCCACAUAGUCGACGUGGCACUUUGUUGACUAGUUAAAUUGUCACCUGGUUUCUGGGUCCCACCUGUCAGUUGGCAGAGCAAAGAAAUCAAUUAAACAAAACUUUACGCAGGCGCGACACGAGUCCAACCCUUGCGCGCUAACCGCCCUGGAUGUGUAUGUGAGUGCAUGCAUGUGUCCUCCCUCGGUCUUCCAACAAAGAGUGUACAUCGGCUAUAAAACAAAGAGUGUAGUACAUGAUGUACAUCUACACUUCCAAUGCAUUUAGCCUUUAAUCUAAGUCGAUAUUGAUUGACUAAUGCACCAACUUGUGUUGUAGGUAUAGGCUACAUGUCUAUCCUUAAUUACAGCAUGCAACGGCCUUCAUUUAAUCUUCUUAUCUCAAUGGUCGCAUGCACACAUAAGUCUGCUACUUUUGGGCGUUAAUUAUGCCUUGGUCAAUGUGUAAAUCUCUAAAUGUACAGUCUUUCACGGACGUAGGGAGUAGGUUGAGCACUUGAGCGUGAGCGUGUGUGUUGUGUCGUGUGUUGUGUGUCGCAUGGGUGCAUGAGUGUUGCGUGCGUCCAUGUGUACGUGUGAGUGUUGCAUGUUGCAUGCAUGGGGCUUACUCCCUCCCAUUGACAUGUUCAUAUUUCAAGAUUCCUAUGUUCCCUCCAUAUGGUGAUACUCCCUCUGUUCCCAAAUAGUACGGAGUAAAAGCCUCCCUCUGUUCCCAAAUACGGAGUAUUUGUCUUUCUACAGAUUUCAACAAGUGACUAGGUACGGAGUAAAGUGAGUGAAGGAGCAUAGAGGCAUAGGGAUACUGUAGAAAGGAAGUCCUCGCGAUCCAUUAUUGCCCAUCUCGGUCAGAGAGAACUAUUCAACUAGUCUUCGCAGUGAAGUGACAAUACACGCUGCAGCAGAUGGGACACGCAAUUAAUAAGCUGAACCAGCGUGUUGGUGUUACUAAAUCAGCCUUACCUAGUAUUGCCAUCUCUUCUUCUUCCUCCUCUCUUCUUCUUCCUCCUCUCUUCCCCAUCGUCGGCCACACACCAUUUACCCCCGCACACUGCUCGCCCGCCCGCGCCAUCUUCCUUGGUCGCUCGCGCGUACCAUAUCCCCCUGCUCACUGCUCGGCCACACGAGGAGAAGCUUCUUCGCUCGCCCGCCCAAAUCCACUUCCCCGCUGGCUCGCAGGCACCGAAAACCCCAAUGGCAGAACCGACUGACACGCAGAGCCGCGAUUGGAAUUCCCUCCCCAAUGUUCUCUUGGAGCAGAUCUGUAGUCGUAUGGACCUACUCAGCACCGUCCGUCUGGCCGCAUGCUCGGUGUCUUUGUACCGUCUACUCGUCUGCAACCGGCCGGCUCUUUUCAAGACACCCUGCUUGCUGAUGCCUGAUCCUCGCAGGUGGCCUAGACACCGACUUGACGAUCCUACGGAGGUUGCCGUGGUGCCCCUCGACAUGCUACCACUACCCGUCCACUUGUGCUUCAUGCGCGACCACUACUGGGCGGUCAUGAAGGCCAACUGGAUCGUCCUCAUCCACCACACUGGUAGUCCGUGGCGUCUUGUGGAUAUCUACACCCAGCGAGAGAUCACCCUUCCAUCGUUGGAUGCCGCCGCCAUCGAGCCUCGCGGCCCCCCGGACACUCCUGCCUACUACGCACGAGACGCGUCAAGCUUUUGGCUCGACCUCUGUUUGCAGAAAGUUGUAAUCUGCGAAGUGCCCACACCAUCAGAAGACUACAUGGAUUACAAGCUCAUUGCCUUGUUCAACAUGGGAUUAGUCUAUCUGGAAUCUGGUCGCCAUACAUGGUUAUGGCUCAUCAUCAAUCCUGUUGAGGCAACAUUUCUGUCUGAUGCUAUAGUGCAUGAUGGCAUCGUUUACGCGGUCGACCCACAGAUUGGCUGCCUAUACUGGUGGAAUCUAUCGUCGUGUAAUUGUUCUAUCUCAUCUCAUCUUUACCUUAUGAAUACGACUCCUGUUCACUUUUUACAAAUUUAGAAUGCAUAGCAUGUCUAUAACCACAUCAUUGCUAUAUGUUCCUCUCAUUUCCUAGAUUUUUAUGACCACACAUGUUAUUGUUAGAGUUGAUAUGAGAACAAUUGGCAUCUAAUGAUUGUUAGAAUACAUAUUAUGAGCAUAACAUCAUGAUUGCUAUAUGUUACUCUCGUUUACAAGAUUUUUAUAAGAACGCAUGUUAUUGCUUAGAGUUGAUAUGAGAACAGUAGUAGUAAGUGCUAUGGUAGAAUAUGAGUAGGCGCUGUCAUAGCUGUUUUCCUCUCAUUGUUACAUGAUGUUUGAACCAUGACAUAUUGCUAGAAUAUGAAAGCCAUUGGCUUAUUUUUUUAACUUGGGGUAUGAUUAUGACCACGGCAUUGCAAUUCUCUGUCUAUGAUAUGUGUCACUGUUAUAAUAAUCUUAAUUCCACACAUACUCUGAACAUGAUUGUUUAUUUUUGUCCUUGUGGUCUCCAAUUUGAAUUGUUGCAGCAGACGCAAAUGCGUUGGCCUUCAUGAUUUCAGGACCUGGAAUCAUACCAGCCGAUGGGUGGUGGUUUAUCGCCCGUUCAGCUGACGACGGUCAUUUGAUGCUCAUUCGCACGUACCAAAUUGACCAAACCAUUACAUCAAACCACAUGCAGUACAAUGCAUGGGGCGUUCGUGACAUUGAUGGCUAUGGCUGCUUCGUGUUCGAGAAAGAUCCCAGCUCCGUUGGGCCAGGCGUAUUCAACUGGAGGCGGGUUUACAGCCUCAGCAACCACUCCUUGUUCCUCGGGCUCAAUUAUCCGAUCACCCAACCAAUCAUCGAUCAUAUCACUGGCGAUGAUUACUGUGCUAUGCAACUUCCAUUCGCGAGAGGGGCUGUGUUUACACAUCAUACCAUGGGUUUCAUGAAUCACCAUAUCCAGAGAUUCGUCGAACAGCUUGUUGCCAGAUAAUCUUCGGUGUGUGAAAGGCAUUAAGCUUCCAUGCGAUGGAUGGCUUUUGCAAACCCGACAUGCGGCGAUGUGGUUCAUGCCAACAGCAAAUAUGCACAACUUGAUUCGUGCUAAUAUCUACACUGAGCCAUGUAUUCUGCUGCUGUAGCAUGACCCUCUUUUGUUGGAUAUUAUGUAAUGUUGUUAGUUUGAAGCACUCCUCUGAUUUGAAGGAUAGAUACCUUCCUGGGAUCAAGUGCAUCCUAACUCACCUGCGUAGGAUGUACUGAUAAUGAUGAUGGAGAUGCUGUGCGUACUUGUUAGUUAAACCUAUGUAUAAAUUGUGACACAAAAUACGACUAGUAAGUAGUACAGUAGAAUUGACGUGACAACACGCUGCGCGUGAGGUGACACAAGAAUCCCGACGGCGUGUUCGGGUAUUCUGGACUUCAGAUUUGGAGUACCACUUAUCUGCCGAAAUCUUUCAUCAUUCACUUAAAACAGUCGAUUGAUCAUACAUUGAGUACCAUAUAACUGGAAUUACCGAUGCAAGUCGAAGAAGGAUUGGCCAGUGCUGCCGGCUGGCGUCAAGUUCGAUCCCACGGAUCAGGUGCUGAUCGAGCACCUUGAGGCCAAAGUGAGUGCUGACAACGCGAGAUUUCAGUCUCUCAUCGAUUUUUUCAUACCAACCAUCGACAGCGAGCACGACAUAUGCUACACCCAACCCGAGAAACUUCCAGGUAAGACACCGAUCGGCCGUCUACUUGAACAAACAUAUUCCUUUGUUUAUAGCUCUAUUUUUCUUUUUAGACGCAGACCUGGUGAAGCAAUUACAAUUUGAUAGUUAAUAAAAAGUGAAACAAGUGACUGCAACAUGCCAAAGAUGUUAUGAAAAUGCCAACUAGGUACACUAAAACAUGUAUUCCACAAUACCGCAGGUAUCACACUGAGUGGCCUAAGGAAGCAUUUCUUCCAGCACAAUUCCUAGGCAUUCAAAAGGGGCACAUGGACACGUCGCAAGAUACAGUCGGAGUGCAGCAUGCACGCGAUGUGGCACAAGACCGACAAUACCUUGCCGGUGAUGGUCAACGGCCGGCAGACGGGCAGCAAAAAAGGUUCUGGUGCUGCACACCAACAAGAACUUCGACCAGCAGAGGACCAACUGGGUGAUGCACCAGUACCACCUCGGGGACCUGGAGCAAGAGAAGGAGCGGGAGCUGGUCCUCUGCAAGAUUUUCUACUAGACGAACACUAGGGCCAGGAGUAAAAAGAUUAUAAGUUAGUUUGGUAUUGGUAGUUGUACUACCUUGUCGUCCGCAAGUUGGUAUUGUUGUUAACGAUCUUUUGGUAUGAACUUGCAUUUGCUUCCAACCAUCAUGCCGAGGGUCGACGUGGAUAUAAAGCUGAAUCAUUUGUUUCGAAAUGAAUUUUCAGGCACCUGAUUUUUAUUUGAUGGGUAGCAUAAGCACCCGCCGUUUGAAUUCCCAGUUCUCCAAUUUUUUCGAAACAAGUGCAUGCACUUAUUAUCACGAUAAAAAAACAAUAUCCGUGUUGCAUCCCAGUUAUCAGUCUGUACUUGUAGAAUUCUCUCGUUUAUUGAGCACGUAUAUUGUUUUUUCAGGUCGAGCAAGUUUCAACUGGGUUGUAGACUGCCCAGGGUUGGUUUUGUUUUUAACAGGCCCAGCCCAUGACGACAACGGGGCACAAAGAUCCAGCAGGUAUCUACUGGCCUCUGGCCCGCCAGUGUUAGUUAUAUUUUGUCUUACAACAUCCGCAUGCAGUUUUUUUACCGAAUCAAACACACAGCCCAGUUCUAUUAUCCUCUUGAAACGCAUGUCCUACAUCCGUUUUCUAAUCUCUACCUAUAGUUUUACUAGUUCAUAUACACCUAUCAUUAUAUUGAAAACACAUAAAAUUCCCUUUUCAUAUUUACAUCCUUAUUUUUGUUGUUUUUUCCCACCCAGCGCUGAUUUUUUUACCACUGGUUUUCUCUUAAACCAACUCAAUUGUCCCACGUCUUAUUUCCUUACAAAAACAAAAUGAUUUUUUUGGCAAAUCAAUAAGUUCUUAAAAAAAUGUUUAUCAUUUCGGGAUUACAACAGGUCGGACUCCACCGAAAUAUGCAAAAUAAGGUUGAAAUUUUUGACCGUGGUCCUGGGCAGAAAAUGGGCUGUAAUAAAUUACUUAAGAAUUAGCAAAUGGGCUGCAAAUUAUAAAAAAUAGCAAAUGGGCUUUAUGUUGUCUGCCACAGAUUUGGAGGCUGACUUGUGGGCCUACUAAGUUCAUGCGUACACAAGGUUUCUCAAAAAAGAAACUUAGUCAACAAUCGACUCUACCAGCGUCAGACCGUUAGAUGUCAAUCUAACGGCAAUCGUGCUUCUUCAGUCUCUGAUCUUCCUGCCCCAGCCGCCCAAACCAGCGCCGUCGGAACCGCCUGCUCCCGCCUCCCAUGGCCGGCAGUGCUGCCGGGCAGGCCUCACGGCCCCAUCAUACUCGCAUCACUGGCCUGUCUAUCCCUCUACUCACCCCACACCUCCUGUUAUUUUCUGGCGAUGGCAGCCGAACCAGUCAACCCUCGUACUCUCCACCGCGUGGGCAGCCACUGCCGUGUCUUCCUCGGCUCCGUGUCAUUCCCUUCGUAGGCCUCGCCGUCAUCCACCGCCCUGGUGCUCUCGGCGCGGUGUGGUCAAUGAUGUCCAUCCAAUGUCUGUAGUGCUUCUUCAACCUCUGGUCUUCUUGCCCCAGCCGCCCAAAGUAGCGCCGGUCGUGCCGCAUGCUCUUGCCUCCCGUGGCCGGCUGUGCUGCCGCGGAGGCCUCACCGUCACAAUACUACUCCCACCGCUGGCCAGGCCAUCCCUCCACUCACCCACUCCCCAUGUUAUUCUGCGAUGACGGCAGCCUCACACUGCAGCUGAACCAGUGAACCCUCGUACUCCUCUCCGCGUGGGCAUCCACUGCCGCGUCUUCCCCGUCUCCGCGUCGUCCCCUUCCUAGGCCUCGCCGUCGUCCACCACCGUGGUGCUCUCGGCGCGGCGUGGUCAAUGUGGUCAACGACCAACUUCCAUCGGAAGAGUAUUGUACGUGGAGAGGCUGACAGCUGGGUCCACGGCAGCCGCAAGGAAGUGCCUCCUUAUUACGCGCAAAAUAAUUAUUCCUCCACCUGACAGCAGGGACCCACCGGACGGGCCACCAGUAUUUCACGGAAAAAACGUUUCCCCCCUGACUGCUGGGAUCCACCGUACGGGCCACCGUAUUUCAUGAAAAAAAAUGUUUGCCCCUGACUGCUGGGACCCACCGGACAGGCCACCGUAUUUCGCGAAAAAAACGUUCCCCCCGUUGUCAGCUCGGACCCACCAGAAGUGCCUCCUUAUUACGCACAGAAAAAUGAAUACUCCCCCUGCUAGCUGGGACCCACCAUGGUGGGAGGCUGACUUGUGGGCCUACUAAGUUGACGGGGACGGAGGGCUUUGUCAACUUAGUCAAUAUGAAUGAUUCUAGCUCCAGUGACCGUACGAUGUCCAUCCAACGCCCGUCGUGCUUCUUCAAUCUCUACUCUUCCUGCUCCAGCCGCUCAAACAAGCGCCGGCGGGACUGCCUGCUCCCUCCUCCCCACGGCUGGCUCUGCUGCCACUCAGGCCUCACCGCCCCAUCGUACUCCCAUCGCUGGCCUAGCCAUCCCUCUACUCACCCACACCUGCUGUUAUUCUCCGGUGACGGUAGACGAACCAGUAAACCCUCGUACAGUCAUACUCCCCUCCGCGUGGGAAACAACUGCCAAGUCUUCCCUGCCUCCGUGUCGUUCCCUUCCUAGGCCUCGCCGUCGUCCACCGCCCUGGUGCUCUCGGUGCGUCCUGGUCAACAUGGUCAACGACCGACAUGCAUCUAAAGUGGACAGUACGUGGAGAGGCUGACAGCUGGGUCCACGGCCGCACGCAAGGAAAUGCCUCCUUAUUACACGCAAAAUAAUGAUUCCUCCACCUGACAUCAGGGACCCACCACAAGGGCCUCUGUAUUUCGCGAAAAAAACGUUACUGCCGCUGACAGCUCGGACCCACCAACUAUAUCUUCGCACGCAAGGAAGUGCCUCCUUAUUACGCACAAAAAAAUGAAUACUCGCCCUGUUAGCUGGGACCCAGUAUAGUGGCAGGCUGACUUGUGGGCCUACUAAGUUGAAGGGGAUGGAGGGCUUUGUCAACUUAGUCAAUAUGCACGAUUCUAGCUCCAGUGACCGUACGAUGUCCAUCCAAUGGCCAUAGUGCUUCUUCAACCUCUGGUCUUCUUGCUCCAGCCGCCCAAACCAGCGCCGGUCGUGCCUCGUGCUCCUGCCUCCCGUGGCCGGCUGCGAUGUGGCGGAGGCCUCACUGCCCCCUACUACUCCCACCGCUGGCCGGGCCAUCCCUCUACUCACCCACACCCCCUGUUAUUCUGCGGUGAUGGCAGCCUCACACCGCAGCGAACCAGUGAACCCUCGUACUCCUCUACACGUGGGCAUCCACUGCCGCGUCUUCCCCGGCUCUGUGUUGUCCCCUUCCUAGGCCUCACCGUCGUCCACCGCUCUGGUGCUCUCGGCGCGGCGUGGUCAACAUGGUCAAGGAAUGGCUUCCAUCGGACGUGGACUGUAUGUGGAGAGGCUGACAGCUGGGUCCACGGCCGCAGCAAGGAAGUGCCUCCUUAUUACGUGCAAAAUAAUUAUUCCUCCACUUGACAGCGGGGACCCACCGGACGGGCCACUGUAUUUCGUGAAAAAAACGUUUGCCCCUGACUGUUGGGACCCACCGGCUACAUCUUCGCACGCAAGGAAGUGCGUCCGGGCAAAAACAAUGAUUCGCCCCCCUGACUGCUGGGACCCACUAGCUACAUCUUCGCAGGCACGGAAGUGCCUGACAGUCGGGACCCACCUGGUCGAAGCGUACGUAGCGUUGUCAUUCUGGUCGCGAACGUGUACGUACAUAUAUACUGGUGGAUGUAGAGGCACGCACGUGUCGUAGUAGAGGUGUCUACGUGUCGUAGUAGAGGCGCGCACGUAGCAUGUGCACAUACAGACAGCGGCCAGGGUGCAAGAAACAAAAUACGACCACGUAUGUGUACAUACGGGCGGGGUCUCGAACGCCUACUCACGCAUACGUACGGCCAGGGCUCGUGCACAUGGCUGGGUCGGAACGGAGAAACAACGUCAUCGUCGUGUUCACGGGGAGGCAACGGAAUGCGUCGUGUUCAUGGGGAGGCAACAAAACACGUGGGAGCCAACUGGCUGGGUCGGAACGGAAUGCUUGGUCAUGUUCAUCGGGAGGGCUUGGAUGGAACAGGCGAUGGAAACGAGGCCUGGCGUACCGCACAACGGAGGAAACGGACCUCCUACGUUCGGAACGGGGUCCUGUUGAUUGGGAGGGGUCUGGCGUACCGCAAAACAGAGGAAACGAACCUCCUACGGUCGAAACGGGGGUCUGUUCAUCGGGAGGGGUGUGGCGUACCGCAAAACAGAGGAAACGGACCUCCUACGGUCGAAACGGGGAUCCUGUUGAUCAGGAGGGGUGUGGCGUACCGCAAAACGGACGAAGCCGACCUCCUACGGUCGAAAGGGGGGUCCUGUUCAUCGGGAGGGGUGUGGCGUACCACAAAACGGGACUCCACGGGAUACUGUUCUUCUCCACCAUCGACCUCCUCCAGCCUGCACAGGCUACCAUCGACCUCCUCCAGCCUCCACGGGCUCCUGUUCAUCCAGCCUCCACCGCGCGCUACUCCACCGGCUACUGUUCAACCACCCCUCCACGGGCACCCCUCCACCGUCUACUGUUCAUCCAGCCCUCCACACCACGGGGUCCUAUUCAACCACCCCUCCACGGGCACCCCUCCACCGUCUACUGUUCAUCCAGCCCUCCACACCACGGGGUCCUGUUCAUCCAGAGGCAAUGCCACCGCUCACUGUUCAUCCACCCCCCGGCAACGCUCACUAUUCAUCCAAUCGAUCGGCUUCAGUUAGCAGCAGUAGCGAAGGAAUCGCUCGAUCGGGUUCAUUUAACAGCCAUCGAUCGAUCGCUCGGGUUCAGUAAUGCGUAGCCUGCAGUGCAAUCGCUCGGGUUCAGUUAGAGCCCAACGCCUCGCUCAGGUUCCGUUAGAGCCAACGCCUCGCACACAUGCGCGUACGUGUACGAGAGAAACGCGCAUCGCUCAGCCCCCGACCUCCCACUGUAACCGGGAACUCCCCGAAAUUUUCCUCCCCCUCGCUUCUACCACGAUUUUUUCCGCCAUGGACGGCCCAAAGAAUGUCAUGCAGCUGCGUCUCCGGCCCGUCUAGGAUGAAAAGCCCAUUUUCUGUCAUGAUUUUUUGUCGUAGAAGUAGGAGCCCACCACAUCUAUGAUGAUACCGGGUUUUGUCACAAUUAUCGUCAUAGAAGUGUCAUAUGUAUGACGGAAUUUUUUUUCGUUCGGCCCAAAAUGUCACGGAUGUGUCUUUUUUUUGUAGUGCAUGUCCAUAUACCCAACCUGCAUGGCGGGUGCAAACCGUGUCAGAGUGGCCCAGUGAUCAGCUCGAUUGUUGAAAAGCUCCAUUCACAAGGCACGACUCUCAUGGUCCUUGUCCUCAAGCAUCUCUGUGGUGGCGCGGAGUAGCAAAUCCUCAUGGGAGGAGUCAGCGUAGGGAGCCUGGUAGUAACCUUCUGCACCAGGAAGUGAUGCUGGCAUAUAGAGGAACUCAGUGUUCCGAAGAAAAGGAAGUCUAGCUCGCAUGAUGGUCAUCUUCGAGUAAGCUGCGUCCUGCACGGACAUCUCGAUGGUAAUCCCAAGUCCAUAUGAACAAUGGAGGGAUUCAGUAGCUCCAGGAUAGGAAGGGUAUAUCCUGACUGUGCAAAUAUAUUGGCUCUGGUUGAAAUCUCGAUAUUGCUCCUCAAUGGUAUACUCAGGAUACCAUCGAUAGCCCGCCUCGGUCAUCACACGGACUAGCAUGGCCGUGUGACCAGGUACAUCGAGGCAUCGAGUCAAACGAACCACUUCAUUCUGGGUGCAGGUGGCCAUCUGAAAGCACGAAAUAAUGCAAAGGCAUUAGAAUUUUCUAGGAGAAAUCGGACAGCAUAACGGUUGUAAAUGCUCCGAAAAAGAUUUGAGACAUUCACAACAGUUGGCAAAACCACUCAACAACAUCAUAUCAAGGUUCUGGUUCAACUGACAACAUACUAAAAGUAGUAGAAACUGAACUGAGGCCUGGAAACAACAAUCCUAAGAUUCUAUGGAUUAGUAACACGUGAACCUGAUAGAAGAUGAGAUCCUAGACCUUAACCCACGUAGAAAGAGAAGAGGAUGACUCAGAUUAGAGGGCAUAAGGUAAAGGAGUAAAAGAGCCUUACGUUCCCUCCCACAAUCAAUUCCCCUACAUAUAACUAAAGCAUUUCUAGACUCGACAUCGACCAGUUUGGCUUAACGAACCUACAUGCAGUCCGGCUCUGAUGCCAACGUUGUCAGGACUCCGAUUCCAAGUCACACUGAUCUAGCCUGUAACACCUCAUAUCACUUUGCCGCCUCACGCAUGGUAUUCCCAAGGGUGUCGCCUUACCAUGGUCCGGGACCGUUUGCGCCUUUUGGCUCACAUAUAUGAUAGUGUCGCUAGCAUCCAUAUGACAGAGAACCCGGGCCGACAUGACUAGUCGUGAACCCAAAGUGGCACUAACUUACGGGGACAUGCAUACAUGAAUCAACAUCGAACAUGUCGAUCAACAGCGUAUGAAUCCGGGCUGUAGCAACUGGGCUAACAAGACUCCGGGAACCCGGGCUGUAGCAGGCUAACAGGACUCCGGAUGUCUCCACUUGACAUUUCCCCGAAGGGACGGACACAGGAACGAAGUGAAUCACAUGUCGGACAGUCAAGUGUUCCGGAGCAGUAGUGCUGGGCUAGUAGGACUCUGGUGAGCCGGGCUGUAGCGGACUACUAUGGCUCAUGGAAGCACAAGACUACAUUUCCCCAUAAGAGAGGCUACCAAGGAUAAACAACUAGAUUGUCGGAUCCCACACAUACCAAGCAUUUCAAACAUACACACAAUAUGCUCGAUAUGUGUAAAUACAACAUGGCAUCACAACAAAACUCUACAACUCAAAGUACUUUAUUUAGAAGGCUCCAGAGAGCCAUACAUCAUAUGUUCAUACAUGUAGGGUCACACGACCCGACACUCAAGUCAUACAAACAUACAAGCACAUGCGGAAGCAAACUUGUCUGAGUACAGACAACUAGAAAGCAAGAAGGCUUGACGAAGCCUGUCUAUCUACAAGGCCCUUCACGACUCAGGAUCACCACAUGGGUGGCAAGUCACUCAUCAACGUCGAGAUCUACAUAGAACCCAUCGAAGCGGGCGGUGUUCUCUUCUGCAACAGUAAUUAAGCAAACAUGAGUACAAAGGUACUCAGCAAGUAUUACAACAGAUCCUACUAUACAUGCAACAUUCUCAAGAAGGAUAGUGGGGUUAUUGCAGCAAGCUAGCUUUGACUCUUGGCUAAGCUAUCCUACGAGACAGCAACUUGUAAAUGUUUUGCGCACACGAGUCCACUACUCACCACAACAAUACACUAUCGUGGACCCUCCUCCGUCAUCCUACGGAAGGGCCAUCCACGACACUCACACUUGUCUUGAAGCUUUUAGGAGUAUCCAUUUACUUGUCUAUGAACUGUAUAGGCAACCAAGUAGUCCUUUACCGCGGACGCGGCUAUUCGAAUAGAUGAUGUUAUCCCUGCAGGGGUGUACUUCUUCAUACACACUCUCACCACUUAUCGUCGUUUACACGACAUGUACUCGACAACCUUCAAGCGGAAGCCCAACGAGGGUGUCGGCCACGGGCUACCUAUACACUCAAGUCUCUAGUCCAGGUUUAUCACCUAUCCAGGUUCCAUCCACAGGGAGUCCGGCCGAGGUUUCCACAUAUGGCCCCGAACGAUAUGUACAGGGUUCCGAGACACCAAACGGGCGCCCGGCAUACCCGGCCACGGUGUAUCUACUGCAUCAUAGCCCACCACUAGGGUCAGCGCUAUGCACGGCCGCCAACACAUAUCCUAUAAACACCAGAAACUAGUUGCAACUCCUGGACAGAGGACUAGGGUGGUUAAGAAGCCAAGAGGGCCAAUUAAGGAUCCCAAUGCAUGGUAGUAACUGGUUCUUAAAUCACACAUACAGAUCUCGGUGCUUAUGGACGAUUCCAAUGAAACAACCCACCAUGUACUCCUACAUGGCCUCUCAUCGAUACCUUUACCAAUUCGUGUUCAACACAUCACUCACAUUACCGACAUAUUCAUUUCACUCUAGUCCAUCACCCAGAUGAACCAGACCUGACACAACUCUAAGCAUAUCAGGCAUAGCAAGGUAGGAAACACAGACAUGGCUCAAUCAACUCCUACACAUGCUAGUGGGUUUCAUCUAGUUACUGUGGCAAUGACAGGUCAUGCAAAGGAAAAUGUUCAACUACCGCAGCACACAGCAGUUUGAAACGUUGUUGUCUUAAUGUAGUAAAUGAGAGCAGGAGCGAGAACAUGGGAUUGUAUCGAUAUGAUAGAUGGGGCUGCUUGCCUGAUGGAGUGGUAGUAGGGUACUGCCCUUCAGUCGGAUAUUCGUAGGUAUCCUCGAAGGCAGAACCUACCACGAAAGACACAACGGAACACAAUCAUCACAUGGCAAUAUGCAACAGUAUGAUGCAUGCUAUGACAUGGCAAUAUGGUUGUGUUUUGGAUAAUGCAUUCUAAAACAGGUUGGUUUGAGUCCAUUUGAAUCAAAGAUUCAAAUAUAAGCUCAUGACAUGAAGUCAUAUUAGUGCAUUAGGUUGUUUCAUUUAAACAAAAAGGUUAAAGUGUUCUGACAUGCAUGAAACCAUUACAUAAGGAAAGAUUGGAUUUUUCCGAUCAUUUUUCAUAUAUAAAUCUUUGCAUUUGGAGUUACAGAUUAAUUUCUAUGAAUUUUUGAAGUUUAGAACAUUUUUUGGAAUUUCUUUAUAAGAAUAAAUCCAGUAAUUGAAUUACUGCAUCAGCAUUGCGUCAGGAUGAUGUCCGUAGUCAACGGGGACGGUCCAGGUCAAACCUGACCAGUGGGUCCCACGUGUCAGUGUCAUUAGUUUAACUAAUUUUUAGUUAGUCCUAAUCCUAACUUAAUUAGCAGGCAGGUCCCACUUGUCAUAGACCUAGGGGGGUCAAAUUGGGCCCACCCGGAGUCAAACGCGGUCAGCGGGGUCAAACUCGCCGGCGUUUAGCCGCCGGCAAGGUCAAACGCGGCGGGGUAGUGCGGGAUUUGCACUCCGAUGACCAAAUGGACAGGGGAGGCCACCUACGUGUAGCUGGGAGCAAGCUGCAUCGAGUGGUGCUAGUGGUUGGGCUCGUGGUCGCCGGAAACGACACCGACGACGAGCGUGGCGGCAGCCAGAGCUCGGACGAGCUCGAACUCGUCGCUAGGAGGCACGGCGAGGAGCGUGGAGUGGUGCUACGGGCUCCUGCGGGUGCGGUGAAGACGAUGGCGUGCUCGGUUUCGAGCCAACAUGGCUGUGGCCACAACGACGACGUGCGGUGGCGGUGGCGGGUGCGUCCGAGCUUGGUGCGGUUGCUGCGGUGCUCGAGAAGGCGAACGGAGAGGGGGAGGAGGUAGCACGGCUCACGGUGAUCCCAACGAGGCAGACGGCGAGGUCGGGGACGAGCUGGUGCGGCGGUGACGGCGAAGGGGAUCUCCGACGGCGUUCGGUGAAGGCGAGGUUGAAGAAGACGGCGUAGGGCGUGCGAGCGCUCGGGGCUCGGCUAGCUCGACGAAGCGGACGACGGCGGAGCUCGUGGACAUGGCAACGUGGCACGGGGACGACAAUGGACGCGGGUUUCACGACGGCGCGGGCGCGGCAGCGUCGGCCAUGGCGAGGAGAGGGCGACAGAGAGAGAGAGAGAGAGAGAGAGAGAGAGAGAGAGAGAGAGAGAGAGAGAGAGAGGACUGAGCGAGGUGUCUGCGGGGUCGGGGCGGCGACGUGGAGCUCGCCCAGGUGUCCAGGGGUGAAGCGGCAAGCAGGUGGCGCGGUGACGAGCUCUCGCGCGCCGGCGUCACCUCCAGCCUGCCUGCCUAGCGGGAGGAAGCGGCUGGCUGGCACGGGCCAGCACAGUGCUGGGCCACCAGGUGGGCCGGGAGGUGGGCUGCGGGCAGGUAAGCUCUUCUCUUUUAUUUAAUUCUGUUUUGUUUUAUUUCCUACAAGUUUGUGGCAUUUCUAAAAAUAGCUAGGCACUUUCAAAAAUCACCAAACUUCAUAUGGCCACUGUUUGGAAUAAAUCCAACAUGUAACAUUUUAGUUUAGGAUUAUUUGAACAUUUAAAAUAUUUAUUAGCAUUUAAAUGCCCAAAUUCGAAUAACUAAUGAUUUAAUCUAGUGACCUUAGGAUGACCUAGAAAUUUGUGCACCAUUUUUGUCAGAGGUUUAGGACCAAGGCAAAGAUGAUGAACAUUUUAGAAGGGCAUUUCAGGUUCAUUGAAAAUAUUUUUAGUAAACCCUAGUUGGUUUCAGGGGGUGCUGGGGGUUCUGUCAUCCCCAUUUCCAAGUUUCUGAUAAUUUAAACAUGAUGCAAGCACUCUAAUGCAUGAACUAGCUUGGGUGUGAUAUUCGUCAAAGGGUCUGUGAUCGUAGUGUCACGUUAGCAGCAUCCUGUAGUAGUGAAUAUAAAGUGUUGAGAAAAAAGAGGUUUGGGAAUGGUGGCUGCUAACAAGGCUUGAAGGUUGCUCGACCCCUCUUGAUAGAGCCGUUUUUCUGUGACUCGAAUAAAUUGAAACCAAAGCUUUGAUUCGCUAGAAAACCACGCCUUUAACCAUUCUGUAGUGUGUGUGUGGGGGGGGGGUGUGUGUUAACCAUCGCCUCAAUCAAUCUCCGAGGAACCAAUGACCCCAUGUACACCUUAGCAACCAUCAUUAUUUCCACUAAUCACAUUUCCAUCACACCAAAAAUAAUAUUUAAAUAUAAAUCCACUUCUAGCUUACAACGCUUCAAAUGAGCUAUAUGCAAGAAAUACUAUUUAAAUAUAAAUCCACUUUCAACUUUCAACCAUCAUUAGUAGAAGUGUGAAGAAGUGUAAGAUAUGCGAAAAAUACUACUCCCUCUGUCCCAAAAUAUGAAAUGUUUUUGCAAGCUAAAACAGCUUGCAAAAAGGUCUUAUAUUAUGGGGUGGAGGAAGUAUUUGUGAAGUAGUGUAAUCCACUUUAUAAAUAUGCAAGAGAUACUACAAUCUUUAGAAAUACCAUUUCACUAUAAAUAUAAAUCCACUUUCAACUUUUUUCACUUAACAAAAAGAAUUAGUGAUGAGUUGGCUACUAGAUCAUGGUGGAUGCUUUGGCCUGUUUCUAACAACCAGGGAUAAAAUCUCCGCCUGCAUUACUUUUUCCUAAGAAGGAAUUUUAUUGAUUGUCAUAUAACUUUUGCGUACAAAUAAAGUUGUAGUUCAAUUUUUUUACCAACAGUGGUGCUAGCCCAAAUGGCUAGUGCCGCUAAUGUCAAUGGCAGAGUAAUGAGAUCGACUCCAACACUUGCAUCAUUUUUGGCAAAAGAAAUAGUAAGACGUUCAUUGGACCGACCACGUCAUAUGAAAAAAUAGAUCACGCAAGAGAGCAAAACGCGCUCAACGCCCACCUACCCUCAAAUCUAGUGGAAACGGAAACCUUCCCAUUAAGUAGCUAAUUAUUGCCCAUGACUCUAUGCAACCGCAUGAUUGCGACCGAAGGGCUCAUGGGUCGUUUGCCCGCAUCCCUAAACGCGGAGUUCAUUUUGGCGUUACUUGUGCUCUCACUUGUAGCAAUUAAUAGCAACCAUAAUUAUAAAAACCAUUAUGAUUAAGAUAAGUGUGACAAGCAAACCCAUCCGGGAUCCCUCAAAUAAAGUUAAAUCAUCCCGGUUGACCUCGUUCUCUUGUCAUCUCGAAGAAUCCUCCGCGAGUCGGGAUCAACCUCCACGGUCCCAUACGCGUGCUUCCUCUUUUAGAGGUGCGGAGUGCAUGGCCGGCGGUGAAAACAUGAUGACUGCGUUGGUGUCGGCGGAGGUGGAGGCCGAGAUGGACCUAGAGUUAUUGUCAACUCGCGUCGGGGUGCCCAACUUUGAGUUCGCCUUCAAUUCGGAGGUCUUCUCCAACAUGGUGAUGCAGAUAGAGGUCAUCACCGGCGGCGAUGUCGGUGGAGGGUCUCUCCUCAUAGGCGAUGACAAUAAGAAAGGUGCGUGGAGCCCACCCCUGGGUUCGAUAUGUUUGGCCAUUUAGAAUUGCAUGCAUAUUUAAUUCGAUGCAUACGUUAAUUUGUGUGGACAUAUGGGGUUGUUGCGCUUGAUUUGUUUUGAUUUGGAAUGGUCGGGUAAUUUCAUUUCAGCUCAGGCUGACCCUUCGUUAAGGCAGCUUACCGUGUUAGUAUAACAUGUGGGCAAUAGAGGGAACCCAUAAGUUAUGUGCUAAUGCGUGUGUUGAUGUGGUGUACACCUAUGUUAGUGCGACAUUUUCUUUGUUAAUCUAUGUUAGUUUGUUUUGUGUGCAUCGAAACAUUUAGGCUUUGUUUGGCCGUAGGGGAUAUAGGACCCGGGGAGACAAUUCAUGGUAGGAAUUUUUUUCCCAUCACACAGGAAUCCAUGGUAGAAAACCACAGCUCCGCUUACCAUCAUUUGGUUCAUUCACUAUGGGGGAAAGACGGGCAAAAGUUUGUCCUCUAGCAUAGACCGGCGUCAGGGUGACGGGCAGGAGUGCGCUAACUUGUCCAGAGACAACAUGUAAGAGGCGGGGAACUCCAUCACAAGUGGAAAGGCGUUUUUUCCUCCCAGGAAAUUCAUAGAAAGCUAACGAAUUUUUCCGUUCCACCUCUCGACCAAAUGGUACGACAGAAAAAACGGGGAAUGUCUACCACCGGGUGGGAGUUUCCAAGGAAUGGAUCCGGAUCCCAUCCCAUGCUGCCAAAUGAGGCCUUAAGGUCAUUGUUAGCCUGCUUGAUAACUAAUUUUGUUCAAGUAGUUCAAAUACUUGUUGCAUAGAGAUAAAUUUGGCACUAGCACAUAUGCGGUUACAUGGCAGAUCCAUUUGUCAGGGAUUAGUGAUUGAGGCAACAGUGAAACACCAGACUGCUAGUAUAAGUUUUGCACGUGAGAUCUUAUGUCGAUGGGUGAUCGUCAAGAUCAAAAAUUGUGGGGAUCCCUUUUUAGAGAUUCAGUCGGGGGUCAAACACUUUAGAACACUUGAGAGAUUGAGCCUUUAUUUAUCCAGGUUCAUGUCACCAAAAAGGUGUAACACUCUACGUCCUACAUGCUAGUUCUUACUUCUGAAGACAAGUGUUGUGUGUGUGAUAACAAGGUUUUCCUCCCCCUUGGGCUUCAGUUUGCCCCUUAUUUAACAUGAGAGGAGCCAUAGUAUACACUCUUUGGCGCAUGUGGUGUGAUCGGGGUCAAAUGCCCCCUCCUCUCGACCUGCCCGGGCCUAGCCAGCCUAGGCACCGUGUAUUUCAUAGGAGUUGGUGGCGUUGCCCUUUAGCGGUGCAAUGCCAUCUCUUUAACUGUGUCGCCGAAUCCAUCUGUCAUGAAAAGUUGAAUGGAGACCACCUAAUGGCAACUCCAACGCGCCGACGCAUUUUGUCUGUGCAUAUCCGUUUAGACCGAAAUUGACACAAAAAGGGCCCAAUGUGCCGACACAAACAAACGACCAUCCGUUUUCCAUCUGCCCAGGACCCACUUCUAGCCUGAAUUUGGGUCGGGUUUCCGUCGAUGCGCAUGAUACGAACGCGCGCCACGUCCACCCUUGUCCUCCUUCUGGCCCUUCCGUCGGUGAUGACGCCAGUUCUGAUCAGAUUCGCACCACGGCAUGUUGGGGUCGCACGUUGGAGUUGCCCGUUCUGGUCAGGUCCCGCCCCGCGACGUCUUCCCAGGUGGGCCCGACGCCUACAGCGUGUUUGGUUCAGGGGAAUUAAAGAUGGGGAAUGGGAGUUGAGGGGUAAGGAGAUUAAAAAUCCACUGUUUGAUUAGAGGGAAUGGGAGUUUAAGUGGGAAGGGGACUGGGAGUUGGGGAAGCCAAUUCCCACCGAUUUCUUCUCAGGGGGUACCCUGUUAAUUCGUGAGGAGAGUUUUAUCCCACGUCAAUUCCCAUCAUAUGCCAAACAAGGAAAUGAAAGUAAAAAUCUACUUCCCAUGCCUAAUCCCUUCAUAAACACUUUUAUGCAAACUCUCAUUCCUUUGCCCUAAGUGUUUACCAAACAGGCUAGUGUUGACGAGGGCCUCAACUUCCCGGCAGUCCUCGAGGUCGUUCCUGGUGGAAAGAUCCACCGGGCACCACCUGCCGGUGCCCCCCAUCGAAAGCGCCUCUUACGGUCCGGGACGUCGCGAAGGUCGUCGAUGCGGGCGGUGUCCGGGACUCCUCCUCCAACGGCACCGGUGGGUGUUCGGAGGAGAACGCACAUGGUCUGGAGCGCGGCCACCUUGGUGGCCUCGCCAGCGCCCGGCCGACGGCGCGCUGGUGGGCGCUCGACGUGCAGGCACCGCCGGGAGGCGCUGAGCCCCCUGCCGCUAGAAGACUGGCUGAGCCGCAACGAUGUCCCAUGCCAUGCCCAGUGGUUCCCAGCGUGCUGGCGGCAAAGGCCGCUGCCGCCGCUGUGCCUGCGAUCCACGGGAGGGCUUGGUUGAUGAUGAUUGAUGCAACAAAUAUUUAGUAUUUGGAUUUAGCUGUGGUGUUCAAACAUAUCAAUCCCCUGUUCCUGCAGAAGUAGAAUACAAUCAAUCCACUGCAACUGAGACUAGCCACAGGACAAUGGGUGCGAAUCACGCGACUCAGAAAACUUGAAAAGAUGCUAUCCCAGCUGACAGUUCUACUACUUGAUGUUAUAAUUCUAAUAUUCUUGUUACAAUUCCUGGUCAAGUUUGCAGUGAAGCUUUACAAAAGGCAUUGCCUAAGUUCGGCUUGUGUCAAAUACUUAUCUGACGAACUUAUACGAAAUUCCAGUAGGAUCCUUGGGAUGACAUCUAUGAUCUCUUUGCUCACUGAGCUACAAGCAUGCUUAGAUUGCUGGCUGCAGCUAAAUUGCCGUUCAAUUUUUGUGAUAUUAUUUUAACCAUUUACCACAUAUCUGAAGAGUGAUUAAAUGAAUCUGCACCAUUGAACAGAGUGUUUCAAGUAUUUUCACAGAAGAAAAUAUGUCCAAUGGUUUAAUUGCUUACCUUUUACUUCUCCUAGUUGUCUUGUAUUUCACUGAUCUUGGUAUUUUGCAGCUGAUAAUGGACAGAUAGACUGUUUCUCAACCAUGGCAAGUACACCAAUUUUAACAGUAAAGACCCUUCAUAUCAAUUCAGCGAUUCUUGCUGCAGGAAGUCGUUUCUUUCUAAAGGUAAUUUUAUAACCAUGUGAAAUACAUUUGUAUGAUCGGUUCAAGUUUCUGAUAAGCUUCAUGUUUCUUAGCUUUUCUCAAAUGGCAUGAAUGAAUCUGAUCAGACGCAUCCAAGAAUCAGGAUUGCUGAUUCAGGUAAUGUGAUAGCUUAACUGUAACAUUCUUCCUCUUAUAUUUUAUUCUUAUUUGCUACUUUGGUUGUGUUACUAUUUUUUGUCAUAAGAUUAUUUAUGGUAAAUAAAAGAUUAUCUUUUAUAGUCUCUGCACUUAAAUUUACUGGUAAUUCAGCAUGCACACUGUAUAUAUUGCAUGUACCAUGCACUAUCUAAAUAUCCACUGAGAUGUGUCGUCUCUUUUAGUCAUCGAUGUGGGCAAAUCGUGGAUUAAUUAACUCACUCUUAAGCAGGGAACUCUCUCUUAAGUUUAUUUUUUCAUAUGCAAUUAUCAGCCAUUGGAUCUGAUUGUAUUGAAUGAUUGAGAUCGCUUGGAUUCCUCCCAACUCAUAUGUUUUCUGUAGUACUAUACAUAUAAUUUUUCUGUGAUUAGAAAAAAAGUUAAUCUCCCAUGGAGCGUUUGUCAAUACUGUAAGUCAGUAGUCAACUUCGAAAAUUAUUUAGGGUACAAAAAGAGUGUCCUUUUUUUUGCUUAUUUGUUGAACUGCUCUCUUAUGAUUUUUCUGUUUUCAUUCUACUUGGAACAGAGGAAAAAGCCUUUAUGGAGCUUUUAAGCUUCAUGUACAGUGGAAAGUUGACAACAAUUGAGCCCACUCUUCUGCUCGACAUCUUAAUGGCUGCCGACAAAUUUGAGGUUCUUUCUUGCAUGAGGUACUGCAGUCAGCUGCUCAGAAGCCUGCCUAUGACCACAGAAUCUGCACUGCUAUACCUAGACCAUCCAUGCUCCCUUUCAAUGGCUGCUGAAGUUCAGAGUGUGGUAGGUGCAGCCAGGGAAUUCCUUGCUGAGAAAUACAAGAUUUUAGACAAGUGAGUGAUCCCCAUUUGAUGGAGCAAUUUUUAUUUUUCAUUUCGUAGAAAAAUGUAGGCAUUGGCCAUUGUAAUGUGCAUGAAGUGUACUCAUGGCAUGGUUUGUCCCAUUUCAGGUUUGAAGAAGUGAUGAACAUCUCUCUUUCUGGAAUCGAGGCGAUCUUUUCGAGCACUGACAUACAAGUAGCAUCUGAAGAUGCGGUAUAUAACUUCUUGCUCGAGUGGGCCCGUGCGCGAUACCUGGAACCGGAGGAAAGACGCGAGAUCUUGAGCAGCCGUUUGCUUCCGCUGGUACGCUUCAGUCAUAUGACAUGUGCCGCACUUCAGGAGAUCCUAGCAUGCACUGAUGAUGAUAUAGACCGUGAGCAAGUAACCAAGCACAUCAAUGAGGUCCUCCUCCACAAAGCUUACCCAACCCAGAUGGAAGGUGCUCUUGCAGCAGAUGUAUCAACUCUCGAUUGGCAAUCUGUUGAGCGAACUUACGGGUCCAAACAUGUGAAAGCGGUUGCGUUUGAUCGACCUUACCCACAGGUUAUAGUUUACAUGGAUCUAACGCGUGCCGAAUGCUCCGGAUUCUUCCCAUCAGGAGUUAUAUUGUCGGACUGGUUCAAUCUCGCAGGUCAGAAAUUCUAUCUCAUGGCAAACUGGGUACUGGAUGAGGAGACAGGGUUGUACAGCUUUGGCCUCUGGUUAGGGAUAUAUGGAAAUUCUAUCUCAGGCUCGUCGUGUUUCGAUAUUGAGUUUGCUGCAAGGACAAGAUCGUCAGGAAAAUUCUUGAGCAAGUACGGCGGUAGGCACACAUUCAGCGGGUCUAUGCUGGAGGGAUGCGAUGAUCUUUUUGGAGUUCCAUGGUCGACGUUCAUUGCGGACGACAGCCUCUUCAUUGACGGUGUGCUGCAUCUGAGAGUUGAUCUGACUGCGGUGGAGCAGCCUGAAUUACAGACCUGAUGGUAUUUCACUCAGCAAAGUUAGGGUGUGUCUUGAGCCCUGCAUGUGAUACUGUGAGCUGCUGCAGCAGCCAGGAAGUUUAUUCCCUGGGCAUUGUCCGGGGUAACCUGAAUCAUGUGUUGUUGUUGAUCGGUUGCUACUGCAAGUCAGUAGUAACAUGUGUGUGUGUGCGCUGACUGCUGACUUUUGUAUGUUGCUAUCAUACUUCAGAAUUUUAUUUAUGCCUGUGCGAAUGGUCUCUGUGCUGGGAAAGUGAGUUUGUUGGCUGAAUGAUGCAAGGAGAUUCCGACUUGGUGCUUCAACUGCUUU
RNAcentral lists this long non-coding RNA (88505 nucleotides) under Triticum aestivum (bread wheat). Its description in RNAcentral is "long non-coding RNA (TAES_LNC025261)". Lineage: Eukaryota; Viridiplantae; Streptophyta; Magnoliopsida; Poales; Poaceae. The record is from RNAcentral.